AAGAAGUCUUUUAACAAUAUUUUUUUUUCUUUUUCAGUUAAUCAUGUCAUAUACCGUUAUCUAAAACGCUGGCGAUAUUAUUAUUCCUCACUUUUCUCAAAAAAAAAAAAGAAAAAAAAAAGAAACAUGAUUAACGUUUAGAGAAAAGUCAUGCCUUUUAAAAAGAAUAUGUAUACAAUAGCAAUCCAUACUUUAUAAAAUUGAUGGCGAUUACAAAGAAAAAUUGUUUAAAAUAGAUUUGAUGCACAAAUAUGAUGACUUUUGGCAAAAAUUAGUUUCGGAAAUGUUGAGAUGAAAACCAUAUUAAUUGAGAAUUAAAAUUAUUUAACUACCAUCUAAUAGAUGAAAACCAUAUCAAUUGGGACUUAAAUUAAAAUUUAAAUAUUGAAAUAUCUAGCAUUACUCACAAUAACCAAUUCAAAUUAUGACUAUCAUGUAGAAGCAAAUGUUUAUGCGUGGGUUUUUUACUUCUUGAAUUUGAUUGGAAAAAUUUCUAAGAUAGAGAAGUGUUUUGGAUAAGCUUUUCGGGAUUGAAACCACAAAUUGGUAGAGGAAAUUAAUUUUGGACAAAUUUUUCUUAUAUUGUAGGACCUUCUAGUUGGAGUAGUGAUGGCUUUGUCUUCAUUUUUGGUUCCUUUUGUGUCGGCAGCCCCUUACUAUUCUCUUGACCCUGAGUUUGAGAUAGAAAUUUAUCAACCUCCAACCCCACAUCCACAAACAAGUUGAUUGAAACAAUUGCUCUUUUAAUUAAGAGGACCCAAAUGAUUUAGGUUUCAGUUCUUAUCAUUUGUCUAUUAUUUCUUUGAAACAUUUAUUUUGAGCGUUACUGAUCUUAAUUAUCUGUAUUUCUCCAAUUAUUGAAGAAUUUCAAGUGGCCACUUUUUCUCCUUUUUAUAUAUGUUUAUUUUUUGGAGUGAUCAAACGGGUGCAAAAUCAAGUAUUCGCUGGUCCGUAGUUUAGCCAACUAUGGCUGAUCCACACAGUUGAUUAUAUGAUACUAUUAGCUCUCAAAAUCUUUCUUAUUUGAGAACAUAAAUUGCCCAUUAAAGUUAAACUAUGUUACCCAGCUCCAUGCACAUACAUUAAAUGUUUAGGUAGUUUUACAAAAUGAUAACAGCAUGCCAAAACUUGAUGUUGUCAUAUUCGACAUUUCAAAUUGAAAAAUACGCAAGCAAUCUUCAGUGAACAUUACGUGUUUAUUGAAUAAUUUAAAUGGCCAGUAAAUCAACAGUCCGUGAGUUUUAAAUCUAUUAUGACUUAAUGUAUCUUUCUGUAUUUGUACACAUAUUAUAUUAUCAUAGUUUAAAAUUUUAAUAUUAUUUUAAAUGUUAAAAAUACUUUAAUGCUAUUAGUCUACUACACAGGUUAUAUUAUUUAUAUUAUAUUUGUAUUAAUUAAAACUUUUAAUGUCAAUUUUCUAAUUACUAUAUUAAUAAAGUAUUAUGGUUAAGAAAAAGUUUUGGCAUUUCUUCUUGAAAAUUUGAGGGUCUGCAUGACAAUUUUUCCAUAUUCUAAGGGUAUAAGUUUGAAAAUUUAACAUUCUCUAAAUUGAUGAAACAAAAAGGGGAAACCAAGAACUAUUCAAUUUUGUAUUUUUUGUUUGUAAUUCAAAAAAUGCAUCCACCAAACAAGUUUUACGCAUUAAUGCUGUCAUAAAACGAAAAACAAUUUGCCAAAAAAGGGUACCAAACAUAUCCUUAAUGUCUCACAUGAUUUCUUAGUAAGCCCGUAUUAGAUAUAUUUAUACAUUUUAGGUAUUUUAGUUAUAAAAGAAGUUGGCCCUCCCUUGUUUAUAAAAAAUAACUUUAUUCAUGCACAUAUGCCAAAAGAAUAAAUAGACAGAAAGUAAAUUUACAGUCCUCACUUCCUCACAAUUGUUAACGUGAAGAUGCAUUACAACUGUGAACUGUCACUACUUUAGCCUUUUUUUUUAAAAAAAAAAAUUAUAGUGUGAUGGAGACAUUAAGGAUGAGCAUAACAGUUAAAGAUGACUCAUUUUCUUUUUAAAGUGCUCUGCUGAAAGCCGAACUUCCUUUGGCUAAUUAAUUUAGAAGUAAAGCAGAGAAUAAAGUCCUAGACGCCUUCUGAAAUAAGAAAUACAUUUUAUAUGCUUUAAUUAUGAUUAUUUGGUAGACUAAAGACCUAAAAGAUAUGUCAAAAGUAUAAAACAGAGCGAUUAAAGAAAAAAGAAAAAAAACAGAGUAUUUGUGACGUAGAAUAACAAUUGGUAAAUAAAUCCUAAAUAUUUGAGUUGUUAAAAGCAAAUAUAACAGAGACGGUAAGAGAGAUGCAGAAACAGAAAACUAUUAGCUUAUCUUGAUUUUUCCACUAUAUUCAUUUUCAAUGCUUUUCAAACGAGAUUCUUUUAAUUCUUCUGGUGUCUGCAGCCCCGGCUAUUCUUAUAAAUCUCCAUCCCACAUCUGCACUACGAACAAGUUGACUGAAAUUAAAUAAUGUUGGAGAUGAAGGGUGAGCCGUCAACUUGUUAAAAAAAAACUCAUGUAUAAUAUUAUCAAUAAUAUAAAAUAUAUAAUAAUUAUUACAAAGAAUCAUAAAUUAGAAAAAUUAAUUAUUUUACAAUCUAUUUCUUAAGUAAGGUGGCGUUUGUUUUUUCAUCUGAAAUCUGAAUAGACCUGAAUUAAUCUGAAUUCUGAAUAGAUCUGAAUGUCUGAAUCUGAAUAAUAUGUUUGUUUUUUUGUUUGAAUCUUGGAAAAUAAGUAUUAAGUUGUUUGUUUUUUUCAACUUAAAAAGCUGAAAAUAUGUACUUUUACAUUUAUAUCCUUAUUAAAUUUGAAUGUCAAAUAAAUAAUAAAUUAAAUACCACAAUAUUUUAACAUUUAUAAGUAAAACUAUAUUCAAGUGAAUACAUAAUUAUUUUGGAAUUUUAAUAGAUAAAAUACUAAAAAUUUUAAAUUUUAUCGUAUAUAAUAUAAGAAAGAAAAAAUAGGAAAAUUUUCAUGUGGGGUAAAUGUUUAUGGGUGAGUUUUGGGAUAGACAUGAAAAAUAAAUUAUAAAGCAGGGAUAUUUUUGAUAUUAGCAAGUAAUUGACUUAAUUCAGAUUUCUCCAUUAAGUAAAAAGCCAAAAGAAUUGGCUUAUUUUAUUAAGUCAAAAUUAUCUAAAAAGUCUCAUUAAGUUAUAAAAACAAACACCUCUAAUUAACUUAAUUAAUUAAGUUAAGUCACUUUAAGUCAUUAAGUUAAAAAACAAACGCCACCUAAGAUAAAUCUUGUAAUAAGUUAAGUUAUAACGUAAAAAAUAUUUUCAAUUUAUAAUCAUUUAAGAAGUCAUUUAAUAAUAAAAUCUUUUUUUUUUAUCAGUAGGCCAUGCUACAGAGUAUCAUCUAUAUUCGUGGUGAUAUUAUUAUUACUCAGUAUCCUCAAAAAACACGAUUUAACAUUUAGAGAAAAUUCCUGCCUUUUAAAAAGAACAUGUAUGCAAUAGCUAGCCAUACUUUAUUUUACCACGACAAAAUUGAUGGUGAUUAAAUCAAUUUUCUCAAUUAAAGCAAAAUUUUUUAAAAUUGAUUUAAUGCACAAAUAUGAUGAUUUUUUGUAAAAAUUAGUUUUGGAAAAUAUAGUGAGAGAAAAUGGUGACGAUUAUUUUUCAAAUGUGCAAAUAGCCUAAACAUAAUCUCUAAUACCAAUAUCCAUGUGCAUCUUAACACCUUUCAUGAUAUUCUUUCAUUCAUGGCCAUUUGUUCAAGAUUUGAAUUUGAUUAUUAAAUUAUGUUCAAUAAUGUUAGAGAUCCCAACAAUUGAGUACCAACUUAAAUCCCAAUGCUAUGUGUCAUUAACAAAUGUUGUGUCAUUUAUAAUUAUUGAAUGAAUAAUUCGUUAAUUUAUUGAUAAAUGAAAAUUUAUUAAUUUAAAGAGAGAUAUUUUUUUUUGGUUUUAAGAAGAGUUUUGUUGGUACAUGUACAUACUUAUAAAGAAAUAAACUUGUAAUUAUACUAUAUCUUUCUUUCUUUGUUCAGUUUGGUGGGAUAUUGUGAUAAAUCAUUGGAUUAAAAUGCAUUUCUAAAUUGAAACUUGUUAAAAUCUAAUUUAUUUGGGAAACACAUGUUAUUUGUCAGUCGUACUUCUCAACUUAGCAAGUUAUUUCUAACUUGUCAGUCUCUAUUGGUUCUCUUAAAGUUAAUAGUCUCGAAUCUCCCGCAUUUGAUAUCUUGCCAUUACUCUUGGCAUUAACAUGUUACCUGAGAUUGGGAUUCAUUAAAAUCCUCAAUGUAAUCGGUGGAACGAAUGGAUUUCUUCUGUUCACCAAUCCACCAAAAUUUCUGUAAUUAAAUUCAAAAGUCAAGAUCUAUGCUUAUAAUCUAUUCAACAGUUAAUAUUCUAUUUUAUAUUUACUUAAAUAUGAAGAGCUAUGCUUGUCAUUAACUUCAAAUGUGAUCGAAGCAGCCUUACAUCUGUAUAUUACUUAUUCCCAACCUUUUUUUUGACUUCAUAUACUUUCUUUUCAUGUUAUUUACUCUUUUUUCCCCCCUCUCUAAUGGGGUCAAACUUGAAAGUAUCUUAAAAUCAGACAAUAAUUUUUUUUUUAUGAUAGAUGCUAAUAUGCUCUAUUAGGCAAUGAUAAGUAAUAACCUAGUUGUUUGCAUUAGAAAUGAUAUUUUUUGUGGUGCUGAUAAAGUGGUUGAGUAUGAUUCAACAAUUUAAAAUAUGAAAACAUGUGGAAGACGGCUGCAAAUAAAUUGAUUGUAUGAAAAUAUUUCAAUGAAAUUUUAAAAAUUUAAUACUUGUUAUCUUAUCGAGAGUUCCCAAAUAAUUGGGCUAGUUUAAUUACCGGCCUAAUUAUUGUAGCCACUAUUGUAUGUUCCCAAAUGAUCCCCGGGUUAGCUCAUUUAAUUGACUGCACCACUACUGGACUAAUAAGUAAGAUAACUAGCUAUUUGGGUCAAAAGCCUAAAUAUAUCAUUUAGUGGGAGGCUCCAUUUAAUUAGCUUUUGUAUAAGGGGCCUUAUGUUAUUUUACAAGGUGGGUCCCCUAUUGAAAAAGAAAAUAACGUGAGUUUUAUUUAGGGCAUUAUUUGGAGCCUAGGGUUUUCACUAAAGGGAGAUAUAUAAGGCUUAUUUUCUCUAAAGAAAAAAGAAAAGCCACUUUAUACAGAUCAGAGAAUAAGAUUUUUCUCUCCAUUGUUGAGAGAAAAAUUUUCUCGUGCUAGUUGCUUUGGUAGUGAUAAAGGCGCCCACACGUCAAGUGCAGAUCGAACCUGAGUCAUAACCUGGAAGAUCAUUGGUGACAGUUCAUGAUCUAACAAGCGUGGUGGUGACGGUUCGUGAUCUAACAAGCGUGGUGGUGACGGAUCGUGAUAUAACAAGAGUGGUGGUGGCGGAUCGUGAUCUAGGAGCCUAAAUCACUUCAGCGGAAAAAGCCAACUCGGAUUUUCAAGGUACGAUUUCUAGAAUACGAAUUCUUAUAUAUUAUAUGAGAGCGAUCUUCAAAAGGUUUUAUAAAAAUUUAAAAGCAGCAUGUGCUGCUGGCAGCUCGCUGCUGCGUAUGUAGCAACUGCAGCGCGCGAGCAGCAGCUGCAGUGCCCAAGCAGCAGCGUGAACGUGGGCUGGAGGCGCAGAGCGUUCUGGUUGGCGUCUUUCCGGCGUCGAUGACGGCUGUCCGGUGUGGAAACAGUAAACAACGGCUGGGUUUUUGUGCUGGUGGCGGCUGGGGAAGAAGAGGAAAAGAAAAAUGUGAUUUUAGGGUUCCAUGGUUUUUAUCGUGGAGGUCCCUAUAGCUUCAUAUUUUUCAGUUGGGCAGAAACGUUUUUUAAUUUUUUGCAUUUAAGUCCAAAAACCGUUUUGGGCUUAAAGAAUCCUAGUUUUAGGCCCAAUUUCAAUUGGGCUUAAUGGAUUAAAAAAAUGCAUAGACAAAAUUAAAUACAUUAAAUUUAUUUUUGGUCCAAAAGUUUUAUUUUAAUAAAAAAAAUUAAUUAUUUAUUUAUUUCCUUUCAAAAUUAAAAUUGGACCAAUUAUAAAUUUAAAAGCCCAAUUUCCCCUAGUCCAUUAACAAAAACAAGCUUAUGGAAGAUGGACAUUGACAAGAAGCCCAAUGAAGAUUAGGCAUAGGGUUAAUGUAUUUUUCAUUAUUAGGAAAGGCAUGAAUUAAGAUUAUUUAAUUGUUUUUCUAUAUGUUAUGUUUUGGAUGAUAACAUGCCAUGAUAACAUGUAAUAUAGAAUAGGUAGUGCCACUCUAUGCAUAAUGAUACAUGUCAUUCAUUAAUUAUGAAUUUCAUUAUAUUGUUUGAAAUUUGCGCAUGCUUAAUAAUAUUUGAUAUCAUCUAGAUAAUAUUAUAGGAAGCAUGCAAUUAACAAUAUGUAUGUUUUAAAAAGGAAAAACCAAUUUUAAAAUAUUGAGUGGGAGAGGGAAAAUUCAAGAUAAUUUUCCCACGGGCUCCAUUGUUAGUUCAAUAAUAAAAUUAUAUAUAUACCUCGACUUCAUGAUACAGUGAUGCUCAUUACGGAGGGUAUAUAUAUUAGAUAGUUUAUUUGAUGAACUUCUUCAAAGAUAAAAUUGAAAUAUUUUUCAAUCGAUUGUUCACCCCAACGGUGACUAUUGAUAUGAAAAAUACGUAGAUUGAAACAAUGGUUAUACACUCAACUAAAGUUUGUUAUUAAUCUUCCCAACGAAGCUCUGUUAACAAAUUUAGGCCCAAAAAGAUAACGAUAAUUAUUUAUCAUGUCUCUACAUGAAAGUAAAUAAUCCAAUGGGUAAUUGGGUCUAGUAAGUAUAGACAUGACUUCCCCACCGGAUAGCUUGUCAAAGCAGUACUAGAUUAUCGUUACAAUAAAUUAAAAUGCAUUUAUGGUUUUUUGCAUUUUUUUCAUUUAUUGUGAAUAUUGAUUCAAAUUAUUUAUGCAUGGAUGUUUUUAUUUUUCAGAAAAUGUCUUCCCUGAGCCCACUUACUAUUAUUCUGAGUCAAAACAAACUCACUGGAGAGAACUAUAUAGAUUGGAAAAGAAAUCUAUUCAUUGUCCUGACUGCUGAAAAUUAUAAAUAUGUCUUAACCCAGCCAUGCCCCCCAGUUCCAGCGGAUGAUGCUCAUAGAAAUCAGAGGAGGCUUUAUGAGAAAUGGCAAAAGGCCAAUGAAAUGGCAAAGUGCUACAUUUUAGCCUCGAUUUCUAAUAUUCUGCAGACCAAACAUCAGAACUUGGAGACUGCCACUGAAAUAAUGAAUAGUCUCCAACAGAUGUUCGGGCAGAGUACUCGCUCUGCGAGACAAGCAGCGCUGAAAGGAAUUAUGAACAGUAAAAUGGGGAAGGGCACAAGAGUUCGUGAUCAUGUCCUCAAAAUGAUGGACUAUUUGAAUGAGGCUGAGAUUCAGGGAGCACAAAUCGAUGAUAACUCAAAGAUUGACAUGGUGCUAGAAUCUCUGCCAGAAACAUUCAAGGAGUUUAAGGUCAAUUAUAACAUGAACAAAAGAAAUAUGACCUUAACUGAAUUGAUGAAUGAACUCCAUUCUGCUGAAGAGAUCUAUCGUGCUGAGAAAUCUCUGGGAAGCAUAAAUUUUACUGAAAAAAGUUCAUCUUCUGGGCCUAAACCGAAAGGCAAAGGUAAGAAGAAAGCUGGGAAAAAAAGACCGUCUACCAAGCAAGAUGGCAAGCCGAAAGGCAAAUGCUUCAAGUGUGGACAGAAAGGUCACUGGAAAAAGGAUUGCCCUAAGAUUGUGAAAUCAGGUAUGGGAAAUCUUUUUUGUAAUUGAGGCCUGUUUAGUUCAGAAUCCUAUUGACACUUGGGUGUUGGAUUCAGGAGCAACUAAUCAUAUUUGUAAUUCACUUUAUUGGUUUCAGGAAACCAGGAAAAUAAGUGAAAGAAGCGUCAAGCUGCAGUUAGGGACAGGACAGUUCGUGUCAGCAGUAAAGACUGGAUCUGUUUUAUUAUCUUUUAAUAAUGAGACUUUAGUUUUGAAUAAUUGUCUUUAUGUUCUAGACAUUAAGAGGAAUUUAAUUUCAGUAGCUUGUUUGUCAAAGCAAGGGUACACUGUAAAUUUUGGAUCCUCUGUUUCUAUUUUUCAUAAUAAGAGACUUAUUUGUUCUGGUACAUUGGAAGAUAAUUUAUAUCAUUUAAGUCCAAUGAUCCAUUCUAUGCAUGACACAGUGAUAAAUAAUAAUGAGCAUACACAUUUAUCUAAGAAAAGAAAUAUUUCUUCCAACCAAUGUUACCUCUGGCAUUUAUGCUUGGGUCAUAUAAACCAAAAUAGGAUACAAAGAAUGAUCAAAGAUGGGCUCUUGGGUCCAUUAGAAAAUGAAUCAUUGCCACUCUGUGAAUCCUGUUUAGAAGGGAAAAUGACCAAAAGGCCAUUCUCGGCCAAAGGAGUACGUGCAACAGUACCACUUGAAUUGGUACAUACAGAUGUAUGUGGACCAAUCAAUGUACAAGCUCGAGGAGGUUAUGAGUAUUUCAUCACUUUUACUAAUGAUUACUCAAGAUACGGUUAUGUUUAUCUGAUGCGUCAUAAGUCUGAAGCUCUUGAGAAAUUCAAAGAGUAUAGGGCUGAGACAGAAAAGCAAUUAGAUAAGAACAUAAAGAAACUUCGAUCUGAUCGAGGUGGUGAAUUUCUCUCAGGAGAUUUCAAAGAGUAUCUGGUUGAAAAUGGGAUUAUAUCUCAAUUGACUGCCUCGGGAACACCACAACAAAAUGGGGUAGCUGAAAGAAGAAAUAGAACUCUUUUGGAUAUGGUGAGAUCUAUGCUUAGUUAUUCUUCAUUACCAAUCUCUUUUUGGGGACUAGCACUGGAAACUGCAGUUUACCUUUUGAACUUAGUUCCAUCUAAGUCAGUGCCUAAAACCCCAAUAGAAUUAUGGUCAGGUCGCAAACCAAGUUUACGACAUGUCCGUAUUUGGGGAUCACCAGCACAUGUGCUGAAACCAAAGGCAGACAAAAUGGAUUCACGUUCUGAGGUUUGUAUGUUUGUGGGGUAUCCCAAAGGAACAAGGGGAGGUUUAUUUUAUAGUCCUCAAGAUAGGAAAGUGAUCGUGAGCACACAUUUCACUUCCCUUGAGGAAGACUAUAUGAAUAACUUCAAACCUAAGAGUAAGGUAAUACUUGAAGAGCUGUCAGGUGAUCAGGUUGAUGCUCAGCUUUCAACGCCUGUUACAGAACAGGAAGAACAGCAACAACCAGAUGAUCAACACAGGAUUAACCCUGAACAACCAUCACUUUUAUAACCUCGUCGUAGUGGGAGGGUAACUAGGUUACCUGCGAGAUACAUGUUUUUGGGAGAAAUCUAUACGGCUAUCUCAGAUGAACAUGUACAAGAUCCCACUAGUUACAACGAAGCUCUAAUAGAUAGAGAUGUUGAAUUUUGGAAAAAGGCCAUGAAUCAAGAAAUGGAUUCUAUGUAUUCCAAUAAAGUCUGGGAACUUGUAGAGGCACCAAAUGGGAUAAAACCUAUAGGGUGCAAGUGGAUCUACAAGAGAAAAAGAGGAGUAGACGGAAGGGUGGAAACAUUUAAAGCAAGAUUAGUAGCCAAAGGGUUUACUCAGAAAGAGGGAAUUGAUUAUGAGGAAACUUUUUCUCCGGUUGCUAUGCUUAAAUCCAUCAGGAUUCUGCUCUCCAUUGCUGUAAUGCUAGAUUAUGAAAUUUGGCAAAUGGAUGUCAAGACUGCCUUUCUUAACGGGCAUCUUGAAGAAAACAUCUACAUGCAGCAACCAGAUGGAUUUAUACAAAAAGGCCAAGAACACAUGGUAUGUAAGUUGCAGAAAUCCAUUUAUGGAUUGAAACAAGCAUCCCGGUCAUGGAACAUCAGAUUUGAUCAAGCGAUUAAAUCGUUUGGAUUCAUUCAGAACAUUGAUGAACCAUGUGUGUACAAGAAAAUUCAAGAAAAAUCUGUAGCCUUCCUAAUUUUUUAUGUAGACGAUAUUCUCCUAAUUGGAAACGAUAUAGGAGUAUUGACUACAAUAAAGAGUUGGUUAGCAAAACAAUUUGAUAUGAAAGACCUGGGAGAGGCAAGUUAUAUUCUUGGUAUCAAAUUACUACGAGACCAGAAGAAUAAAACUUUAGCCUUGUCUCAAGCGGUCUAUAUCGAUAAGAUAUUGGCUAGAUUUAGCAUGGAAAAUUCCAAGACUGGUUUAUUACCAUUCAGACAUGGAAUUACAUUCUCUAAGGAUCAAUCACCUAAAACAUCUGAAGAGAUAGAGAGAAUGAGACGAGUUCCCUAUGCAGAAGCUGUGGGAAGUCUUAUGUAUGCCAUGCUUUGCACUAGGCCAGACAUCUGUUUUGCGGUAGGGAUGGUUAGUAGAUAUCAAUCUAAUCCUGGACCUGAACACUGGACUGCGGUCAAGCAUAUAAUGAAGUAUCUGAAAAGAACUAAAAAUUAUAUGCUUGUGUAUUCUGGUGAUGAACUCAUUCCAGUGGGUUAUACUGAUUCUGACUUUAUGUCAGAUAAGGAUUCCAGAAAAUCAACUUCCGGCUAUGUGUUUACAUUGGGAAGUGGAACUAUUAGUUGGAGGAGUGUGAAACAAUCUUGUAUCGCAGACUCCACAACUGAAGCUGAAUAUGUGGCUGCAUCCGAAACUGCAAAAGAAGCUGUAUGGCUCCGCAAGUUCCUACAAGAUCUUGAGGUGGUACCUGCUGUAACUGCACCCCUUAAACUAUUUUGCGAUAAUAGUGGUGCGGUAGCUAAAUCUAAGGAACCACAAGAAACAAAAACAUAUUGAGAGGAAGUAUCAUCUUAUAAGGGAUAUAGUGCAGAGAGGUGAUGUGGAGGUUACUCAGAUUGCGUCACAGCAAAACUUGGCAGAUCCUUUUACUAAGGCCAUACCUGGGAAACCUUUUAACUUGCACUUGGAAUCCAUGGGCAUGCGUGAGAUGCCAAAUAUGCUUUGAGAGCUAGUGGGAGAUUGUUGGGAAAAUAUGCCCUUUAAAAGCAUAUGUGUUUAUUUAAUUGUAAUAAACAAUUUUUCUGAUUAAUAAAAUAAAUGAGGUAUUUUAUUCAAAUAUCUUAAUUGCAUUAAUAUUUGUAUUAAAGUCCAUUUAAUCAUAUUAUAUGUAUUUAUGUGAUCACCAUGUGGAUUCACAGAAGACAUAAAUACAAGUUAUCUUAUGAUUAAAUAAAUUUAGUUCGCAGUUGAUAAAUAAAGUUGGGCACUUUAUUUAGGUAUAGACUGUAAUAAAUUCAUUGAAUGAUUUGUCUUAAUCAUGUAUGAAUUUAUUGAUGUAGUACGACUACAUUAAACAGGAUCACAUGUGAGAUUUAAUUAACUUUGUAAUAACUGUCAGACUUAUUAAAUCUUAUAGGCAUUGAUUUUACUGUAAUCUUAAUCUUGAGUUAAUUAUGAUUUCAUGAUUGUAAUUGUUAUUCCAUUUGAGUUACCAAUGGGCACGACACAUCCUUGUGGUCAAGAUUACCCGGUAUCUUGGUGGGAGCAAUUAUGAGUAUUGGAGUUAUGGAUUAACAAUAUAGAAUUUGUACAACACAUCUCUCGAUAGGUUUUCGGCACUUGAUCAUAGAAUUCUUUGGCCAGAGUGUGUCAACAUAUUUAGUAUGUUGAAAAUGAUCAUUAGAGAAAACCAGUAAGGAUCAAGGAAUAAGAUGUUAUUAAAUUGAUUGGACAGUUGAGAUAUCAAUUUAAUUAACGAUGUGGUACAAAGGAUUGUGCAGUAAAGAAAUCAAUGUGGCUUGGGACGAAUUAUUAUUCGAGCAUACAAUUAUGGAAGUCAGUUCCAAUCUUUUAGUGGAGUAGAUUUGGAAUUAAAUAAUUGGGCUAGUUUAAUUACAGGCCUAAUUAUUGUAGCCACUAUUGUAUGUUCCCAAAUGAUCCCCGGGUUAGCUCAUUUAAUUGACUGCACCACUACUGGACUAAUAAGUAAGAUAACUAGCUAUUUGGGUCAAAAGCCUAAAUAUAUCAUUUAGUGGGAGGCUCCAUUUAAUUAGCUUUUGUAUAAGGGGCCUUAUGUUAUUUUACAAGGUGGGUCCCCUAUUGAAAAAGAAAAUAAUGUGAGUUUUAUUUAGGGCAUUAUUUGGAGCCUAGGGUUUUCACUAAAGAGAGAUAUAUAAGGCUUAUUUUCUCUAAAGAAAAAAGAAAAGCCACUUUAUACAGAUCAGAGAAUAAGAUUUUUCUCUCCAUUGUUGAGAGAAAAAUUUUCUCGUGCUAGUUGCUUUGGUAGUGAUAAAGGCACCCACACGUCAAGUGCAGAUCAAACCUGAGUCAUAACCUGGAAGAUCAUUGGUGACAGUUCAUGAUCUAACAAGCGUGGUGGUGACGGUUCGUGAUCUAACAAGCGUGGUGGUGACGGAUCGUGAUCUAACAAGAGUGGUGGUGGCGGAUCGUGAUCUAGGAGCCUAAAUCACUUCAGCGAAAAAAGCCAACUCGGAUUUUCAAGGUACGAUUUCUAGAAUACGAAUUCUUAUAUAUUAUAUGAGAGCGAUCUUCAAAACGUUUUAUAAAAAUUUAAAAACCGAAUUUUUUCACCAACACUAUGUAGCUAGAUGGCAUUUCUAGUGUUUCAAGGUUUAAAAGGGUGCAUAGCAGUGAAGGAAGGCAUUUGACCGAAGGGAUAUUCAAUUUCAAAUACUUCAAAAGAUAUAAAUUUUCUAAUCCGGGCGGAUAUUGGUCCAGGACUGCAAAACCCAAAUUCAAUACCUGAAGGUGUUUGAACUUUUUACAAAAAUUCUCGCAAUCUAUCAGAGCGAGACGAUCGCUUUCUGAACUGUGAUUCAGAAAAGAUUGGAGACGCAUGUCAGAAUAUUCUAAAGGAAAGAAGUCAAUCAGGCGUUCCACAAUGAAGCACCGUUUAACAUUUGCCACUGAUUCUUCUUCCAUUUCAGGCGUCAAGACAAAUCCCGUCUUCUUUGCCACAAAAUACAAUGAAGUAAAUUCAAGACUUGGAACAUAACACGCUUUAAUUGUGCCGCCGGCGCUUCUCUUACUCACUUGAAUGAAGCCGCGAUGGAUUAGUUCUUUCAAGUAAUGUUCGGCAGUUUCUUCAUCGUUGUAUGGUAUGAAACCUUCAGCUACCCACAACUGAUAUAAUUGCCUCGUGGACAUCUCAAUACUUGGAGGGAAGACACACAAAUAGAUGCAGCAGACUUUCAAGUGAAAAGGUAACUCCAUCACAGAAAAAAUUUAUCUCCAAACUGUCGGAAUCGCUUCGCCUUGAACAUAAUUUUCUAAUGGCAUACUUCCAUAGUGUAGGAUGAAAAAUUGCCAGGCUUCAUGCUUUAAUCUGAUCAAUGGUCCUCCAAAGAGCACUGAAUCACGCCGAAUCUUCUCUCCAUUUUCCAUUUCCAACGACGCAAGGAGGUGUGGAUCACUGACCAACAUCAAUACUCUGCUUCCAUUCUGAUUAUCAGGAAGAACUUUUUCAAGAUCACUCCAUAUCUUACUGUCAUCGAAGACAUCAUCAAGCACAAUAAAGUACUUCUUGUUUGUUAGGUAAUCUCGAAGAAUAGAUUUCUUCAAUUGAUAAUCUUCCCCGAUAAUUACACUAACCCGAGCUGGAGGCAUCACAGACUUGAUUAUGCCAUCCAAUAUCUUGCCAAAAUCGUAGGUUAUCGAAACCCUGACCCAAGCAAGACAGUCAAAAUAGAACUUGACGUGAUCAUUAUUGUAAGUAUCUGCAGCAAAAGCAGUCUUAUCGAAGCCACUGCUGUCGAGAAUUGCAACCACUGCAAGCCCAGAUGGUCCCUCAAUCAAUAGAUCAAACAACUCCUCCCUGCCCCUUUGAAAUUCAUUGAUAUCGAGCCGAGGUUGUCCCUCAUUCAAUAGGCGAAUGAUUUCGUUACUUUUCUCACUGAUAUCAAAACCAUUGUCGCCGGGUGGAAGUUGUUGCAUCCGAUUUCUAAUAUCAAUGAUUUUAGUGUGGAGUCCAACAAGAAGAGCCAUAUCAGUACUGCUUUCACUUUCGUUUUCACUGUUUUGCUGCUGCAUGAUGUUGAUGAAGAAUCUGUCAAUGGCUUCCUCAGAUUCAUGGACAAAGUCAUUGAUGUCCUCCAGAAUUUCCAAAAUAUCUGCUCUUUCAACAUCUUCUUCAUCGCUUUCUUCUAAGUCCAACAGUUCAUCGAAAUCUUCUCUAAGGAGUUGAAACAAAUGCCGAGCCAUGUCAACUUCAUAUUUUCCCAGCAGAGUAGUAGCAAUAAUUUCGGACUCCGUAAGAAGGUUUUGAAAAAGUGGAGUUAAAUUUGUUGAAUCUGGCAGCGGCAACGUGCCUUCUUCACCUGCUAACACCCUUUUCAACCUCUCACGAAAUAGUCGGAGGUGGACGUCCAGCAUAUCUCCUUCUCUCUGUAUCACCCAGAGGUAUAGUUGAAAGAUUAAACACCAUGGAAGAAUUUGAAAGGAAAAUGCCAAGAAACUGUGUAAGUGGCUAAACCAUGAAAAAUUGAUCAUUUUUUUGCAUUGUAAGUUGCGCGUUCAUUUAGAGAAAAGUCCAAGACGCGUGCCUUUUGCAAAGAACAGGUAUCCCAAUCGGUAUCCAACCUUUAUCUUAUUUAAUUACUACCAUGACAUAAUUGAUGGUGCUUAAAUCAAUUGUUUCUUUUUUAAUUUAAAGAAUUUUUCAUUAAAAAAAUAUUUUAAUAUCAAAUUGCCUUCAGUGGCGUAACAACUGCCUCAAGCCCAGUAACAGGACUAAUUAAAAAUUUUACAAUUUUGGGGCAUGGAAAUAGUAGUAUUAAACAUUAGAAAGGUAAGGUUGUUCUGUUAAAGAAUUGAUAUUGACAUAAUUUUAUUUUGGUUUUCGUGGAAAAAAAAAAUUUGUUGACAAGCAAGAAAAUAUUUUAUCAUAUAAAAGUAAUUUUAAAAAUAAAUAGAAACAUAAUAUUACAAUAAAUAAAUUAAAGUUUAAAUUAUUUGGAAUAUUAUAAAAAAUAAUGUUAAUAUUAUUAAUAGGAAGACAUUUUGUUAAUUUUAAAAUCUUUUUAAUCCAAAGGUUUAUUUAAAAUCUCUAUAAUAAAUACAAAUAUAAGAUUAAAAUAAAAAUCAUAAUUUGAAAUUUUUAAUAUUAUUUUAAAUGUUAAAUAUACUUUAAUGUUAUUAGCCUACUACGUAGAUUUUAUUAUUUAUAUUAUAUUCGUAUUGAUUAAAAUUUUUUAAAGUCAAUUUUUUAGUUAGUACAUUCAAGAGGUAUUAUAGUUAAAGAAAAGAUUUUGGUGCAACUGUUUUAAAAUUUCAGCGUCUAAAUGAUAAUUUUUUUAAAAUUUAAGGAAGUAGGUAUUAUUUUUCCAACAAUUAUUUUACUUUUGAGGGAAAUCCGAUAAGAAAUAUCAUCAAAGAACAUUAAUUUAACAUUCUUUACCUUUAUGAAAAAAGUGAAAACCAAGAACUAUUCAAUUUUGUAUUUUUUGUUUGUAAUUCAAAAAAUGCAUCCACCAAACAUGCUUAUCUUGAUUUUCCCACUUUAUUCAUUUUCGAUGCUUUUCAAAAGAGGUUCCUUUACUGGUCAUUGUCUACACUAUCAAACAAGUUGAUGGAAAUUGAACCCAUUAAGUUAUGUUCAUUACUGGUCAUUGUCUUUCUAUGAGCCACUUAUUUGGAGCAUUAGCGAUCUUAUAAGGAAUCAUGCCUUUUCAGGAUCGUUUUCUUUCAUUUCCCUAUUGUAGUAGUUAAUUAAAUAAAGAACGAACAGCUGAACUUGGUCUAUUUCGAGGAAGACCAAGGCUUCCAAUACUAGAGGAACUUUGAAGAAAAUUAAUUGGAAACCUUUAUUCAUCUUUGAAGAAAAUUACGUGCCAAUGUAACGAAGGCUUUUAUUCAUCUUCGGACUAUGAAUUUGUACAAAAACAUUAACAGAAAAUAAUAAAGACACAGCUAAAUGAUAGCAGCAAGUGCUGAUUUAGUGAACCACUUCUACAAGUAAAUAAAAACUAAAUAUUUAUUUUGACUAUAACAACAACUACCCUCUUGAAUAGGACUCUACAGCAGCCACAUGACAACUAAUUUCUCCAUAAUAUUAUUAUUAGUAGAAGUAGAUUUUCAAAAUUGUCUUGAUAUAUUUCAAAGUUGUAUUAUCAGCGUAUAUGUAUCUAGAUUGUAACUAUAUUUUAAAAAAUAUAAAAAUUUUAAUUAUUGCACAGUAAUGUAGAACAAUAUCUACAAAAUAAUAUUGUUAGGACUAAGAAAAAAUAUUAUUUUAGAUAAGUUAUUUAUUUAUUAUUGAAUGAAAAAUUUAUCAUGAUAAAUGAAUAUUUAUUAAUUUAAAGAGAGAUUUUUUUUGGUUUUAAGAAGAGUUUGUUUGGUACAUGCACACACUAAUAAAGAAACACAAAAAGUGCUUCCUCAAGUCAAUAGUAUUUGCUUUAAUUGCUAAGGUGCAUAAUAACGUAGCUUAGUUAGGAAAUUUGUAAUUAUAUUAUGGCUCCGUUUGGUAUAAUUUUUUAACUAGAACUUAUUUAAGGAGGGCUUUUAUUAGUAGAGUUUUUAUAAAUAGAGAUUUAACAAAAAAAAUUAUAGUUAUUUAGUUGUCAAUGUACAAAUUGAUGAAUUAUUGUUCUUUUUGUUAACAUGUGUUUGUUUUACUUAAUAAUAAAAGUUUAGUUUACAACAUUGAAGUUCAGCAGAGCAUUUUUGCAGCCAGUCACAUUAUACAUUAUACUAAUAGCAUCGGCAAGAGUUUUCGAUUGUUGCAACUUGCAAUGCACACGAUGCGAGAAAAUGAGAAUCUUGUUUAAUUGCAAUAUUGACAAACCUAAUCCUUUCGUAGGGAGUAAUUUAAUAAUCGUUCGUUAGUUGAAGCGUUAAUUUAAUAAGCGUUGAUUUCCCUUCGAUAACUCGAAGUCCACGACGAUUCUUCUUCUUCUCUGCUGCUCAUUACGCUUCUACCCAAACCCUAGGAUUCAAACCUUUGCUUAGGAGAGAAUCAAAGCGAUUGGUGUUGGAGGUGAUUGAGGCUCUUAGAAGCUUAGAGGUGUGUUAAUUCAAAUUCUUUUGUCGAGAUAAGUAAUUUCAUUCCUAAUAUACUGGAUAUGUAUAAGUAUUUUGAUGUUAUUAUAAGAGUUUUUAUACUUCUUAGAAGAUUAAUAGAUUUUCAUACCAAAAUUAGUUUAUGAAAAUGUUUUCAAAUCUGAAUUCUUUUGAUAAAAUAUUUUACAAAUGCGUUUUAAUAUGUAAAUUAUUUUAUGACAUGACUGCCUUUUAUGAUUUUGUCUAUGAAAUAUUUUUGCAAGCCUAAAUUGUUGCUAUAGACUUUCAUGAAUCUAAUAUGAAUGUUUUGUGCCUAUGUAUGAUUUUAAUUAUUUAUGACUGUACGGGGGCCACCUCUUGAGAUUAUAUGGGGGCCACCUCUUGAGGGCCAAAGCGCCGCAAAGUGCCACAUAGAGUGCAAAGUGCCAUGUAUAAGUCAUUAUGUUUUGGCUCAUUGUCCGUAGUUAUUCUGAUUCUAAUUCUGAUCGUAUUAUACGAUAUAUUUGUUCUGGACUAGUACUAGGUUUAUGUUCUAAGUGUGCACACGAUAUUCUGAUUCUGUUUCUGGUCAGGUCACCGAGACUAUAGGUGAUACUAUGUGACAUGAGCUAACUAUCUGCUUUCUGUGUACACUUUAUACGAUUUGCUUUCAUAAUUGAUUAUUCUUUUGAUACUCUGAAUUACCAUGAAUUUAUGUUAUAUAAUUGAAAUAUGUUGUUUUAUGAAGUUUAUGACUUAUAAUAUAUGUUUUUGAAUAAAAGAAGGCUUGCAAUAUUUUUGAUAUCGAUAGGCCUAGUGUAUUAGGAAUGAUUUUACCUACCGAGUUGACAGCCCACCCCUCGUUAUUACUUUUUGCAGAUUAAGUUCCUUUUAAGAGGUAUGCGUAGCUUUGGAGUUAGAGAUUUCGUUUCCGUUUGCUAUUUGAAUAAGAAGAGGAAUAGACUCAUGUUUCUUUUUAGUUUAUUUCUGUUAUGAGCUUGUAAUUUGGAGUUUGAGACUUUUGUUAUUGUUAUGUUUUGGAAGAGAUUAUUUAGUGUUAGACGUAUUAAUUUGCGGAUUUAUUUGAAUAAGAAUUUGAGGUAUUUGAGCUUGGAAUUUAUAAGUAAGGAUUACGAUUUGUAAGUAACCUCAUUCUUCAUGUGCUCCGCACGUGUUAGAUUUGGGGUGUUAUAUGUUUCGUAUAACUUUUCAAGUAGAGCUUAUUUAAAUAGAAUAUUCGUCAAUAAAGCUUCUAUAAAUAUAGAUUUUACUAAAAAAAAUUUAGUUGUUUGGUUGUCAAUGUCCAAAUUGACGAACUUUUGUUCCUUUGCUAACAUGUAUUUGUUUUACUUAAUAAUAGAAGUUUAGCUUACAAUUACACCGGCGUCAAAUCAACAGAGCAUUUUGGCAGCCAGUCACAUUAUACAUUAUACUAAUAGCAUCGGCAAGAGUUUUCGGUUGUUGCAACUUGCAAUGCACGCGAUGAGAGAAAAUGAGAAUCUUUUCUAAUUGCAAUAAUGACAAACCUAAUCCUUUCGUUGGGAGUAAUUUAAUAAUCGUUUGUUAUAAUUGAAUAUGUAUAAAGAAAGGAAAAUUCUAUUCAUAGAUUUCGACUUAUUUUUUGUUUAAAGUAAUUAAUCAUUCAACCAUCUUCAUUUGCCUCUGGCCAGUGCCCUUGUAGAUUAGUUGAAGCGUUAAUUAAUUCAGAUAAUUACAACGUCCUUUUCGCUAAUUAAUUAUGAUUAUAUAUGUUUCAUAUAGCAAGUGGCUUUGUAGAUCUAAACCAAGUUGCUAUUUCAAAACGUUAAUUAAGUGAUUCUCCUCAUUGUCAUCAGCGUUAUACGCUCUAGGAAAAUAGCUCAAUUGUUUCCCUGCAUUGACUUUCAUUGGUAAGUGAUUUCUUAUGAAAUUCUUUUGAGCUUUCCUUAUUAAAAAAGCUUGAGCUUUUAUCACCUAAUGCGGAUAUCAAUUAACUUGUGAAUGAUUUUGCAAUGAAACUAGGAGUUAAAUAAGAUUUUUACAUGAUGAAUUUUUAUUUUUUUAAUUUUUUGAUGUAGUCAAUUUGCUAAUUUUAUGUAUUUCAUAUUCAACGGAAUUUGGGCACGGAAAGUUUGGAUUCUAAUAUUUAUAUGUUUAGCUUUAAUCAGUUUGACUUUCGUAAUCUUUUUCCCCUCAUCAUUAAGGGAUUCAGAAUUAGAGAAACGUUAGGAAGAGGAAGAAAAUAAUUUCGGAAAUAAGUAAGAGGGAAAAAAUUAUUAAAUUAGGAAUGAUUUUUUGUAGAGUAUGUUCCGUUUACUAAACUGAAAUCGAAAUGAGCUGGAAUCAGAAUGGAUAGAAAUGCGAAUGCGCUGGAAUGAGAAUAAGUAAUGAGAAUCAGAAUAAGUUGUUUACUUGAAUUGUAAGAAUCGAAAUCGAAAUGAGCUGGAUUGCAAUUACUUUGUCCUACAAUUAGAAUCGGAAUGAGUUAGAUUGUAACAAAUUACUAAAAGGUACUUAAUGAAUUAUUGUCAUAAUAUUAUUUUAUAUUUUAAUUAUAGUGAUUAUUUAUUCUAAAAUUAUUAUUAUUAAUUAUUUUCAAUAAUAUGUUAAUAUGUUAAUUAAUUUUAAAAAUUAUUAAUUAAUUUAUUAUAAUAAUAUACUAAUUAAUUAUAAUAAUUAUUAUAAAAAUAUAUUAAUUAUUAAUAAUGAAAUUACUUAUUUAAUUAUAAUAAUAUAUUAAUUAUUGUGAUUAUUUAUUCAAAAAUUAUAAUUAUUAAUAAUUAUUGUUAAUAAUGUAUCAAUAUAUUUUAUAUUAUGAAAUUGUGAUGUAUUGUAGACAAAUAAGGAAUUUGGUACAAUAAAUUCUUAAUAUCUUAGUACAAAGUAUGGUAAAAUGGUAUUUUAACUUAUUGUAGACAGAUUAAAUUUCGACACACUUAAUCCAUGAUAAAAUUAAUGGAAAAUAAUGAUAAUUUAUACAAUUAAUCUUUUGAGCAAUAAAAAAAUAAAAGAAAAAGAAGUUACUAAAUUAUGUUUACUGCUAAGAGUGAAUCCACAAUCCUAAAUAAUUAUUUCCAUCGUUUCACUUAAAUUAAAUAGUGUGAAUUUAAAUUCUAAUUUUUUGAUAAAUUAAAAAGAAAUAAAAAAUUAAAAUUUUUCUCUAUGGAUCGACCUCGGAUUGAUCAAUUUAUUUCAUAACAACACACUUUUAUACUUGAGAGUUAUAAAUCACUUUGAAGUUGUGUUAAGUUUUUGACGCUCUUACGGGGAAAAAAUAUUUAUUUUAUUUUAUGUAUGGGUCAAACUUGAAAGUAUAUUUUAAGAUAACUGCUAAUAUGCUCUAUUAGACAAUGAUAACCUAGUUGUUUGUGGUGUUCAUAAUGAGUUUAAUUAUGAUUAAACAAUUUAAAAUAUGAAAAAAUAUGGAAGAUGGCCGUAAUUAAAUUGAUUGCAUGAAAAUAUUUCAAUGAAAUUUUAAAAAUUUGGUACUUAUUAUCUUAUCAAAAGAUUUUUAAAUUAUAUUACUACUUCAACUUAACUCCUCCUGGAUUGAUUGUAUUGAAUUUCCAGCACUGCCAUUGCUUCUACUUGAAAGCCAUUUAAGUUUGUGUAAGCUACCUAUAGUUUGAAUAACAAUUUACUCAUGAAUUGCCGUUCAUGAUAACAAUUUGAUUGAAAGUGCGGCUCCACUAAUUGUCUAGAUGAUUUUUUCCCACAUGUUUGUUCUCGUACGACCCCAGAAUGCUGUUAUAUCAGUUGUAUUGGAAAUUAAUCAACUGGUUACAACUCUACACCCCAUCAAUAUUUAAGCAGUCUACAGAACAUUAAUUGUGUUUUGAAAUUUUAAUGAGUCUCACGUGUUUUUCACGUGAUAUGCAGUAAAAACAAAAUUAAAAAAAUGUGAACAUUCAGCCCCAAAAUCCCCAACUCCUUCCAAAUUGGUUCCGCAGCCCCCAAAUCCCUUAAACCCAAAUCACUCUAAAAAGACUCUCCUCAGCCAAAAAGAAAAAGGUCACCUCACCUCUCCUCUUCUUCUUCCAUGGCGAUCAACGGCGGCACAAGCACGGGCUGAUCUCCUUCGUCGGUAACGAUCAACGGCGGUACAAGCAUGGGCAGAUCUUUUUUUGGCAAUGAUCAACAGCGGCACAAGCACAGUCGUCCUCAGGUACGGAUUUGAUGUUGGUUGUGUUGUCAAGUAGCGAUUCAUGUUUGGAAGAGAAUCCGCUCGCAAGGACCUGGAGCACUUAAUCGAAGAUCUUAAGCGAGGAAUUCGCUUCCUCCUCAUUCCUAAUCGGUGCCUGGUUCAUCAGUAUGAUUAAGGAUGAAAAUUGAGAAAGAAGGACGCAUUAGGUUUGAGACAUUGGUUGAAAAGCGCUACCCCGGUGGCCACGCUGGAAACAUAUGUUCCGUGGCUUCUUGCGUUGUCUGUGAGGAAUAUGUACUGCUGUAGAAGAUAAUUAUGAAUCAAUGGUAAUUGGCGUGUUGGUUUUGGUGCCGAUUUCCUCUUAUUUUCCAGAAAAGGCUUGUAAUUUGUUCACCUCAAGAUUCAAUUUGUUAUUGAAAAUGGAUGGCUGUAAAGACCUACUGGCCUUUCAUUAUAUUAAUGUUUUUGACAGUAAGUUUGUAAUAGUUAGUGCAGGGAACUUAUUGAUUCUUGAUUAUAUAUAACGGUGGCCCUUAUUACUUUAAAAAAAAAAAAAAAAUUGAUGAUGGGUUUCGUUUUGUAUAAGUGUUUGGAGUGUUGGAAAAUGAACAUUGUAUAUUUUAGAUAGUUGAGUUCCAUAGUAGUGAAAAGCUACGGAUUUGUUUUCUUUGUAUUGAAAUGUGUUUUGACCAUUAUAUGUUGUUUGAUUGGUGAUAGUUUUAUGUUUGUCAGUUCCAGUAGUCUCUUAAUCGCCAUCUGGCAUGGAAACUCACUGUGAAUAUGUGAAGAAUGCAGUGAUCAUAAGGAGUAAAUGAACGAUCAAACAUGCUAAAAUUAAAUACCAAAAAAUAAAAUAAAAUAAAAUAAAAUUGGAACUGGAAGAGUAAAUAGCAAAAGAUUGGGCGAAAAUUGAAUACCAUAACAAAAAAAAAAUUAAAAUAAAUUCAAACGACAAGAGCUAAUUAAGAGCAAAAAGAUGCUUGACUUACCAAGAGCAAGGACCAAGCAAAUGGUUUUACAUUCGGGCUUGAUGGUGAACUGGUUGGAGAUGGGUACGAAUGUGAUCUCGUUGAGAUUUGGAGAAGAGAACGGGGGAAUGGCCACAAUAUCUUUGUUACUUUUUUUUUUAAACUUUAUUUUACUGUUGAUCACAUGAAAAUCACGUGCAAGUCAUUAAAAUUUCUAAACACAGUUACUGCUGUCGUUUCGAUGUUCUCGGGCUAUCACAUGCUCGGUACGUCUAUCACUACUCGUCAAAAAAAAUGACACGCGUUCAUUUCCAAGACGCGUGCCUUACUACCAUGACAUGAUUGAUGGCGCUUAAAUCAAUUGGUUUUUUUUUUUAAUUUAAAGAAUUUUUCAUUAAAAAAAUAUUUUAAUAUCAAAUUGCCUUCAAUGGCAUAACUGCCACAAGCCCAGUAACAGGACUAAGGGUACGUUUGAGAUUGAGGUUGGGCAGCUGUACCUUUUAAGCUACAACACUAAAGUGCUUGGUAAACACUAGCUGCUCUAGGUUGGAAGCUAUAUUAAUAUGAUUUUUCACUUGUAUAAUAGAAAAUAUAUUAUAUCUUUAAUAAUUUUGUCAAAUUUAUAUUUACUACAUAUUAUUAAUUUUUGUUUUAUAGUCACAGCUUUUUUUCCACAGCACCUGUAGCUUAAAAGAUACAGCACCUCAAUCCCAAACGCAUCCUAAUUAAAAAUUUUAGAAUUUUUGGGCAUGGAAUUGAAAAGAGUAGUAUUAAACAUCAGAAAGCUAAGGUUGUUCUGUUAAAGAAUUGAUAUUGACAUAAUUUUAUUUUGGUUUUUGGGGAAAAAAAAUUUGUUGACAAGCAAGAAAAUAUUUUUAUAUUUUACAAUUUAUUAUACAUAUUUUAUCGUAUUAAAGUAAUUUUAAUAAUAAAUAGAAGCAUAAUAUUAAAUAAAGUUUAAAUUAUUUUGAAUAUUAUAAAAAAUAAUUUUAAUAUUAUUAAUAGGAAGAUAUUUUGUUAAUUUUAAAAUCUUUUUAACCCAAAGGUUUAUUUAAAAUGUUUAUUAUAAAUAAAAAUAUAAAAUUAAAUAUCAUAAUUUAAAAUUUUUAAUAUUAUUUUAAGUAUUAAAAAUAUUUUAAUGUUAUUAGUCUGCUACAUAGAUCAUAUUACUUAUAUUAUAUUUGUAAUGACUAAAAAUUUUUAAAAUCAAAUUUUUUAGUUACUAUAUUUACGAGAUAUUAUGGUUAAAGAAAAGACCUUGGUGUUACUUUUUACAAAUUUGAGUGUCUGCAUGAUAAUUUUAUCAAAAUUUAAGAAUGUAUGUGUCCUUUUCUCCAAUAAUUUAUUUCACUUUUGAGGGGAAUCCAAUGAGAAAUAUGAUAAGAGAAUGUCAAUUAUUUGUCAUUUUCUAUUUUUUCUGUAAGCUAUUCAUUUUGAGCAUUAGUGAUCUUGUCUGGACUACUCCAAUUAUUGAUGUAACUCCAGUGGCUGCAUCCACAGUUGAAUAUAUGAUAGUGUUAGCUCUUAUUUGAGAAUUCAGAGGGAUCUUCUAUGUUUAUCAAUUGCAAUGUGCUAGUAUAAAUUUCUUUACCUCACAGUUUAUAUAGUCUUGCUGUUAAAGAACUCACUGAGGCAUUAUUGACUCAAUUUCAGUGGAGCAAUCGCGCGUAGUGGAUAAAUAAAGGAUAACAGAACAGAGCUGAAGUGCUAAAUUGGCUAUUAAAGAAGGGUGUCACAUGAUCACAAUCACAUUGGUGCACAACUAGAGUUAGGCAAAUUUUGUCUAUAUGUACUCUAAAUUCAGACAAACCAUACAUGCAUGAACAAAAAUUAAACCGUCGUUCUAAUCACAACAGUAAUUGAAGCUACAAAAGCCAGCAAAUCUGAACAAAGACUUAAAAGAAAGAUCUUAUUCAAGUUGUCCCCAAAAGACAGCUGAAAUGAAUAAUAUUGACUAUUGAUUGGGUCAAUGCUGAAUUACAUUUCAAUAGGAAAGCUUGGCAGCAGUUACAAUGUUUCCCCCUCUGAUUUUCGUCCAAAACAAAUUCAGUUGUAAACAACAAUCGAAGUAGAAAUAAUUUAUUCAUCAAAGAAAAUACCCAAGUUUUCAACAAACAAAUCUUCUUGUCUAAACUAAAAAAACUCAUCUCUAAAAUCUAUCUGCAAAAUAUUGGAAAUGAGGAGUGAUCCGUCAACUCCAUAAAUAAACUCAUGCAUAAUGUUAACAAUAAUGAUAAAUUACAUAAUAAUUAUUAUAAAGAAUCAUAAAUUGGAAACACUAAUCAUUCUACAAUCUAUUAUAUAAGUAAGAUAAAUCUCAUAAUAAGUUAAGUUAUAAUGUAAUAAAUAUUUUCAAUAUAUAAUUAUUUAAGAAGUCAUUUAACAAUAAAAUAUUUUUUUUAUUCAAUUGAUCAUAUAGCGUUAUCUAAACUCAUGACGAAAUUAUUAUUACUCACUUUUCUAAAAAAAACAUGAUUAACUUUUAGAGAAAAGUCAUGCCUUUUAGAAAGAAUAUUACCGUGACAAAAUUGAUGGUGAUUAAUUCUAUUUUUAAAAUAGAUUUAAUGCACAAAUAUGGUGACUUUUGGCAAAAAUUAGUUUCGGAAGAUAUAGUGGUAGAAAAUAGUGAUGAUUAUUGUUUAAAUGUGUAAAUAGCCGAAGCAUAGCCCGUGAUACCAAUAUCCAUUUGCACCUUCAUUUGGAUUAUCACAUUUCAUGAUAUUCUUUCGUUCAUGACCAUUGUUCAAGAUUUGAAUUUGAAUACAAAUUAAGCUGCAAGGGAGCUUACUUCGGUUUCUAAGCUUUUCAAUUGUGAUUCCUGCAUGCCUUGCUCUGAUACUAUUUUGUUACUUGCCAAUGUAACCAACCUUGUAAUUGGUCUGUAUAAGAAAUCAAGCCCUUUCAGGAUUGUUUUCUUUUGUUUCUCUAUUGUAGUAGUCAACUAAAUAAAGAAUGAACAACUGAACUUGAUCUAUUUUGAUGAAGACCAAGACCUCCAAUACUAAAUGAACUUUGAAGAAGAUUAAUCUACUGCUUUUAUUCAUCUUUGGACUAUGAAUUUAUACAAAGACUUUAACAGAAAAUAACAAAGACAUAGCUAAAUGAUAGCAACAAGUGCUGACUUAGUGGACCACUUCUACAAGUAAAAAAAGACUAAAUAUUUAUUUUGACUAUAACAACAACUACCCUGAUGAACAGGACUCCACAUCAGCCACGUGACAACUAAUUUCUCCUUAAUAUUAUUAUUAGUAGAAGUAGAUUUUCAAACUAGUCUUGAUAUAUUUCAAAGUUGUAUUAACAAUGUAUAUGUAUCUAGAUUGUAACUAUAUUUUUAAAAAAUAAAAUAUUUUAAUUAUUGCACAGUAAAUGUAGAAGAAUAUCUGUAAAAUAAUAUUAUUAGGACUAAAAAAAUAUUAUUUUAGAUAAGUUAUUUAUUUAUUAUUGAAUUGAUAAUUUAUUAAUUUAUUUCUAAAUGAUAUUUAUUAAUUUAAAGAGAGACUUUUUUGGUUUUAUGAAGAGUUUGUUUGGUACAUGUUUACACUUAUAAAGAAACACAAAAAGUGCUUCCUCAAGUCAAUGGUAUUUGCUUUAAUGGCUACGGUUCAUAAUAAUAUAGCUUAGUAAGGAAAUUUGUAAUUAUAAUAUGACUCUUUUAGUACAACUUUUCAAGUAGAAUUUAUUUAAGUAGAGAUUUUGUUAGGAGAAGUAUUGUUAAUAGAGAUUUCACAAAAAAAAUUUUAAUUAUUUGAUUAUAAUAUCCAAAUUGAUGAACUUUUGUUCUUUUGUUAACAUCUGUUUGUUUUACUUAAUAAUAAAACUUUAGUGGGUUUGGCUACAAAUAAAAGUUUAGUGGGUUUGGCUACAAUGCCGUUGGCAUUGUUCCCGGCACCAUGCCGGGCUCUAAAAAAGAGAGCCCGGCUGUCUUUGGCUGCCAUUUGGCAGCCAAAGACUUGGUGCAGCCGGUUAACAAACCGGUUGCACCAUAUUUUUUAAAAAAUAUAUAUUAAAAAUAGAAUAUAAAAAUGAAAAAAAUUAAAUAAAAUGUCAAAAAUAAUUUUUAUAAUAUAAUUAAUAGCAAAAGAUAAAGAAAUUAAAUUAUAUAAUACAAACCCUAUAGUACAAUAUGAUAUAAUUAAAUAAAAUGGCAAAAAAUAAAGAAAUUGAAAAUGAAAAAAAUUGUAUUUCAGUUUUAACGUUAGUUAUUGCAUGUCCGACGUCCCGAUUUCAUGUUUGACAUAAGAAGUUGCAUGUUUUGGAUAAAACCAAAAUAAAGAAUAUUCUGGAAUAUUCUCGUCUGUUUCAUGUUUGACGUCAAAGUUGCGAACUUUACGUGGUAAGUUGCAUAUUUCGCGUGAAGUAUUGCGAGUUUCAUAUUUAACAUCAGUUGUUGCAUUUUUUACGGUUGGAUUUCAUGUUUGACGUACGAUGUUGCAUGUUUUGAAUAAAGCCAAAAUAAAGAAUAUUCCGGAAUAUUCUCGUCCGUUUCAUGUUUGACGUUGAAGUUGAGAACUUUACGUGGUAAGUUGCAUAUUUCGCGUGAAGUAUUGCAAGUUUCAUAUUUAACGUCAGUUGUUGCAUGUCGAACGUCACGGUUGCAUGUUUGACGUAAGCUGAUGCAUGUCUUGAAUAAAGCCAAAAUAAAGAAUAUUCUCGAAUAUUCUCGUCUGUUUCAUGUUUGACGUUGAAGUUGCGAACUUUACGUGGUAAGUUGCAUAUUUCGCGUGAAGUUUUGCAAGUUUCAUGUUUAACGUCGGUCGUUGCAUGUCGGACGUCACGGUUGCAUGUUUGACGUAAGCUGAUGCAUGUCUUGAAUAAAGCCAAAAUAAAAAAUAUUCUCGAAUAUUCUCGUCUGUUUCAUGUUUGACGUCGAAGUUGCGAACUUUACGUGGUAAGUUGCAUAUUUCGCGUGAAGUUUUGCAAGUUUCAUAUUUAAUGUCAGUUCUUGCAUGUCCGACGUCCCGAUUUCAUGUUUGACAUAUGAAGUUGCAUGUUUUGGAUAAAACCAAAAUAAAGAAUAUUCCAGAAUAUUCUCGUCCGUUUCAUGUUUGACGUCGAAGUUGCGAACUUUACGUGGUAAGUUGCAUAUUUCGCGUGAAGUUUUGCAAGUUUCAUAUUUAACGUCAGUUGUUGCAUUUUUUACGGUUGGAUUUCAUGUUUGAUGUACGAUGUUGCAUGUUUUGAAUAAAGCCAAAAUAAAGAAUAUUCUCGAAUAUUGACGUUGAAGCUGCGAACUUUACGUGGUAAGUUGCAUAUUUCGCGUGAAGUAUUGCAAGUUUCAUAUUUAACGUCAGUUGUUGCAUUUUUUACGGUUGGAUUUCAUGUUUGACGUACGAUGUUGCAUGUUUUGAAUAAAGCCAAAAUAAAGAAUAUUCCGGAAUAUUCUCGUCCGUUUCAUGUUUGACGUUGAAGUUGCGAACUUUACGUGGUAAGUUGCAUAUUUCGCGUGAAGUAUUGCAAGUUUCAUGUUUAACAUCCGUCGUUGCAUGUCGGACGUCACGGUUGCAUGUUUGACGUAAGCUGAUGCAUGUCUUGAAUAAAGCCAAAAUAAAGAAUAUUCUCGAAUAUUCUCGUCCGUUUCAUGUUUGACGUCGAAGUUGCGAACUUUACGUGGUAAGUUGCAUAUUUCGCGUGAAGUUUUGUAAGUUUCAUGUUUAACGUCCGUCGUUGCAUGUCGGACAUCACGGUUGAAUGUUUGACGUAAGCUGAUGCAUGUCUUGAAUAAAGCCAAAAUAAAGAAUAUUCUCGAAUAUUCUCGUCCGUUUCAUAUUUGACGUUGAAGUUGCAAACUUUACGUGAUAAGUUGCAUAUUUCACAUGUAGUGUUGUAGGUUGCAUGUUUAACGUUCGUUGUUGCAUGUCCGACGUCCCGAUUGCAUGUUUAACGUAAGAUGUUGCAUGUUUUGAAUAAAGCCAAAAUUAAGAAUAUUUCAGAAUAUUCUCGUCUGUUUCAUGUUUGACGUCGAAAUUGCGAACUUUACGUCAUGAGUUUUAUAUUUCGCGUAAAGCGUUGCAGGUUGUAUGUUUAACGUUAGUUAUUGCAUGUCCGACGUCCCGAUUUCAUGUUUGACGUCGAAGUUGCGAACUUUACGUGAUAAGUUGUAUAUUCUACGUGAAGUGUUAAAUGAAUUUUGUUUUAAAAAUACAGUUUAACCUCAAAACUGUAUGAAACUAUGUUAUGAUCCAAAACGUUAUAAAAAUUUUCAAAUUGGUCCAAUUUUAGAAUUUCUAAUUAUUACUUUAUUAAACUCAAAACUUUCUGAAAUUAAGAUAUGAUCCAAAAUAUAAGAAAUUAUAGAAUGACCCAAAACAUUUAAAUAUUUUGAAAUAGGUCCAAAUCCGAAAUUUAAAACAAUAAUUUAUUAAAAUCAAAGAUUAUGAAAAACAACUUAACUCCAUAAAGACAUAUUCUUAUUGUUAAAGCACAAUACAUAAAUCUUUAUUUAAUCAACACAUGUGGUUUGUUAUCGAAAUCUCAAUACAACACAUUAGUCCAAAAUUAUCCAAAGCAUACGGAAAUAACAUAUUAUCCAUGAAAUAUCAAACAAUCAAAACAAAUCCAUGUCAUUCAAAACAAAUACAUAAUCCAAAAUCAUAAUGAAAUGUAGGUGUGUCCAAAUACAAGCAUAAGAGACUACUAAGGUGGUGAGGAUGGUGGUGAUGGAGGUGGAUACGGAUAUGGAAUGCCGAAGUGCUCAAAGAGGAGGCGCUGUCCAUGAAUAAACUGCUGCUGCUGGUGGUGAAACUCAGUCUGCCACACAGAGAGUGUCCUCACCUCAUCCAUAAGCUGCUGAAGAGUAACUUCUUCAAAAGUAGGAUGCUCGGGAUGUGGUAAAGAAGGUGCAGAGGCUGUAGGAGCCGAGGGAGAUACUGAAGGAGCUCGACGUCUACGCUGACCCCGAAAUGAAAGUGCAAAAACAGGUAGCUGAUGGGCUGGAACCACAGCAUUAAGUGGUCGAUCAUCACUUGGAGCAAGAAAGGUGAACUUUUUAUCAGUGACUUUUACCCAAGUGCCAUUACGACACUCAAAACCUAAAGAACUAACAGCCUCAUCCCCAAUGCUCUUAGACGGCCUACAUGAUGGUUCUUGGAUAGUGACGCUAAAGUAUUUGAGGAUUCGGGUGAUGAAAUGACCAUUCAGAAGGGAACGAGUAAUCAACUUAGGUAUACUAAGCAUGUUUCGGACAAUGGUGUAUCCUAAGUCGACUGGACGAUGUCUAAGAAUACAAUCAAUCAAGGCAACAUCCAUAUGAGAAACCUCAUCCAAAUGGCCUGAUCUAUGAAGCACAAUACUCUGAAUAAAACGAAGUAAUAUCCGAGUUUGAAGACAAAGACAUUGGGUGCGAAAAUGGAUAGUACAAUCAUCAUCCGAAAGAUCAAUACGACGACAUAUAUUCUUAACAGCAUCAAUAUGAACAUAAUCAUCAAUAUCAGGAGGUUUCCUAGGUGAAAAAAUUUCUAGGCCAUCAUCGGAAGUUCCUAGAAUAGAGUUCAACUCCGAAUCAUCAAACUCAAUCGAAACUCCUUCAACUGUGGUGAUUACUCGAUUCUCUUUCUCCGCGGAACAAUCCAUAUUCGAGUAAAACACUUUCACCAAGUCGGGAUAUACAUUUUCCUCAAAAACAAUUGAAUUAAGCCAACCAACAUCUUCCAACAAUUGCAAUAAAGUUCUAUUACUAAUACUAAGAUUAUUCAACCAAUCCGGUAAAACAAAAAAGGUUUGGAGUACCUCACGAGUCAUGAACUGUUGGUGAAAUCGUUUGGCUAGAUGUUUGUGGUUCUGAAAGUGUCUGGCCUCAAAGUUGGAUUUAUUGGAUGUGCCCCCUGCUUGUCGUGACCGGUUGGUAUGUUGAACCGGUUCUUUGCCUUUUCUUCGAAUCGGCCGUGAGCUUGACAUGGUGAAUUUUUUUGAUUUGAAGUGAAAUAAAUCAAUGAGAAGGGAGAUAAUAAGGAUGGAAAGAGAUUUUGAGAAGCAAUUUCGAUCAAAAACGGCUUCAGAGGGGGAAAUCUAGAGAGAGAAGUUUCGGCUUAAACCAUAGAAUUGAUUUCGGAUCUAUUGAUUUUGAGGUUCAAAAAAGGUUUGAAGGAUGAUUUUGGAUACAAGAACGGAUGGGAAACAAGUUUCAUGGAUCCAUUUGCAUAAAAAACCUGUGAAAAUGAUGGAUUUUGGAGAGAAAACGAGAGAGGAAUAUUCGGUUUUAGAGAGAGAUAGCUAACCGGUUUACCGAAAGAUAAAGGAGGAGAUGAACAGUUUAUAUACUCGCGAAUCCGGCUAUCCGGAAAUUAUUAACCGGCUAACCCAUUGUAGGCAGUGACCUACCCACGCGAAUUCAGAUUUCCGGUUUGAAUAACCGGCUAUCCGGUUUCGUCUCCAAGAAAAAACAGCAAACUGCCUCACUCGGCUGAGAUAAAAAAAAACCAACUGUGAUAGGGAAUGCAUAAUUUGUUUGAAAGAUGAAGUUUCACUUGAUUUCUUGCCAUGUGCGUACCAAGUUUUGUGUGCCAGUUGCAGUGUCAAAAUUAUCAUAGUUUGUCUUAAGAAGUCUGAAAGAUUAGAAAAAGAGAUUGCUAAGUUCAAGAAAUGAAAGUGAGAUAAAAUUACUUGUGUCGCUUCUUGUGUCUUCCCAUUGUUUAAUUCUGAUAUUGUUGCUUACUAAAUUAACAAAGAAAGACCAGCACAAUGACUGCUGAUGAAUACUUUGAGAAGCAUCCAGAGCUAAGGAAAGAAGUUUGAUGAUGAAAUCCGGAAUGAUUAUUGGGGAUAUUAAUUCAGUCAUGUGCAUUCAGUUAUCGGGAACAUCUUCUUUCAUGCAGACUCUCGAGUUCAUCCCAACCACCAUGCUGUUUUGGUGCAUCAUAACAAGAAUAAGCCAAUUGUUUUACUCCAUUUUGGUUGAUUUGACUAUCACAAAAAAUUCCAUGAUAUUUGGACAUUACUCAGAAUCUAGCUAUAAUAAUUUCUCUUUUCUUAUUUGCCAAAUUUGCAUUAAGAUUUUUUUAGAAGAACUUUUAUGUUUUCACAUUCAGAAAGAGUUAAAGCAAAGCAAUUGCAGUAGCAGUGUGUAUGGAAUUUGUUGAAUGGAUCCAUUUGAAAGUCCAUUUUUUAUUCUUUAAUGUAAUAUCUAAUAUUAAAAAAAUCUUAAAACAAAAAUAUGAAUGAAUUGAAAAAUCAAAGUAGUAUUCCACAUUCCCAUGUAAAAAUAGAUUAACGACACCACUUUAAGAAAAGCUAAAAAUAAAAAUAGAUAUAUAUUAUUAAACAAAAUGAAAGUUGGAACUUACAAAGAGCUAAUAUUAUUACUUUAAUCUUCUAGUAUUUAGAGUUCAUCUUGUGGCUGAUAUUAUUGCUUGGCUACGUGAAACCAUUUUAGUCUUGUCAACACUAUCUUGUGGCUGAUAUUUUUUAUUGAAAUGCUCUUCAUCCACCAACUUGGUUCUUGUCAGUUUGCUUGGUAACUUCUUCUUGUUUGGUUUUGGUGCAUUAUUUAUCUAUUCACUCGUUAGUCAGACACUUUUUUUUUGUAUUUUUUGUUUCUACGCACAAGACUGAUAAAAUUAAAUGGGCUUAAUCUUUUGUCUUCCUAAUAGCAAUAUUCAAUAUUUAUUUAGUAAUAUUUCUAGAACUCUAAGAAAUAACUGGAUUUAAAUUUUAUGAAUUAUAUAUUGUGCUAAAAGCACAAAGACAAUCAUAUGAGUGUAUAUUAUUAUUAAAAUUAAACAAUUGGAUUUAACCUCCUCUUCAUACAAUUCAUAUACAUUGGCUCGCUCUCGCUCUCUUUUCUACAUGCAUGUGUCAUUUACAUUUAGGUAUUUGUAUGCGCGUAUAUUAUUAUAAUGUAAUCCCUCUAAAAAAUGAGACCAAUCACAGUCCAAACAAAAAAAAGAAAGAUAAAGAAAAGUUAAUACUUUAAUGGCAUUGUUAAUACGUCACAGUAAUCAUGUCCCUCGAAUCCGGAUAACUGGAUUUAACAACCGGUUAUCCGGAUGUUGACUGCAAGCAACAUGCUUGCUGUCACGCGAAUCCGGAUGACCGGAAGUCAACAACCGGUUAUCCGGAUGUUGACAGCAAGCAUGUCAAUCGAAACCGGAUAACCGGAUUUCCUAACCGGUUUUCCGGUUAUUGCAUGUCCUGUAUAAAGUUUAAAAAAAAUAAAGGUAAAAUUACCACGUUUGGUUGGUUAGGUUUGCAAUAAAUAUGAUGAAAAAAAAACUCACCUUCCCUCCAUUAAUGAGGGAUUAUCCUAAGGCUCAUGUCCAAGACUUCUUCACAAAAAACACAGUCACUCCAAAACAUAGUCCCAAAUACUAUUACUGCGGUCUCGUUCAACAUCUAUGGUGCCUAGUUUUCAACUUUUCAAAAGUUAAGUUUCUCUCCAACAAAGGUAUGUGUUGUAAUUUAAGUAGUUGAUUUGUGCUCCCAUAGAUGGUUUCAGAAAUAUUAUUAUAUUAAAUUAUUAAGAUAAAGGGUGUGAAUUAUGUUAUUAACAAAGUUUUGGUUGAACAGGGGUUAAAUAUGAGUAGCCCACAUAGUUCCAGCAACCUAGGAAUAUCCAUUGCUCCAAAUGUUGGUUUACAGGUAUCGGACGUACUUGGCAGUCAUUUCGACUCAGUAGAAGAUGCAGAACUGUGGUAUAACAAUUAUGCCCGAAUGCUUGGUUUUGGUGUUAGGAAAGAUGAUAUGCGGCGCGGAAAAAAGUCUAGACGAAUCACAAUUCGACGUUGGGUUUGUCAUUUCGAAGGGGUAAGAGAUGAAAGACAAUCUCAAAACUGCAGUAGGGUGCAGAACCACGACCUAUAACACGAACCGAGUGUCGGGCAUCAUUUCGAGUGAAUUACGAUGAUUCAGUUGGUAAAUACAUCGCCAAAGAAUUCAGGCCUGAGCACAACCAUCAUUUGGCUUCUACUAAUGGAGUUCAUCUCAUUCGUUCACAUCGAAAGGUUACUGAUGCAGAACUUGCGCAAGCAAAGGCAUUAAGGCAUGUUGGUGUGAAGACUUGCCAAUUCAUGGAUUACAUGGCUGAUCAGGUAGAGGGGCCUCAAAACCUAAGGUUCACACGCAAAGACAUGCAAAACACGCUAGAUGCUUCCACUCGUGCCGAGGUUGGAGAUUCUGACUCAGACACAACUAUAGCAUACUUUGCGGCAAAAUCUGAACAUGACCCUGGGCUUUGCUUUGAGUACACACUAGAUGAUGAAAAUAGACUACGAAAUUUGUUUUGGGCUGAUUGUGUAGCUCGUUAUGACUAUCAGUGUUUUGGUGAUGUGUUGGCAUUCGAUGCAACGUAUAAGACUAAUGUAUAUCAUAAACCCCUCGUUACACUUGUCGGAACAAACCAUCACUUCAGAACAACGGUCUUCGGUUUUGCUUUGCUCGCAGAUGAGACAAUUGACUCAUACACGUGGCUGCUACAAACUUUUCUAUCCACUAUGGGCAACCGAAUGCCCGUGUCUGUAAUUACUGAUGGUGACAAGGCAAUGUCGAAGGCAAUAAAGACAGUGUUUACCGGGUGCAUCCAUCGUCUUUGUUGUUGGCAUCUUGAGCGCAAUGCGCAGGCUAAUUUGAAGAACGAAGACUUUACGAGAAAAUUUCGUGAUUUGAUGUUGACACCUAUGACGGUAACUGAAUUUGAAACCCAAUGGUCAGCUGUAGUGGCUGAAUUCGCACUUGAACAUCAUGCAUGGGUACAGAAAAUGUAUUCAAAGCGGUGCAAGUGGGCGGAAGCUUAUCUUAGAGGAACAUUCUUUGCUGGUAUGCGAAGCACUCAACGAUGUGAAAGUAUGAAUGCAUAUCUUAGCCGAUUUGUCCAACAUAAACUAAAAUUGUAUGAGUUUGUGCGACAAAUCGAUCGUGCUCUCCGCAAUAUUCGUACCACAGAAACAUCCGAUGAGUUCAAAACCAAAUACAGUACUCCUGUCUUAAGAACUCACUUACAGAGCCUCGAGAAACAUGCUGCACAAUUGUUCCCGUUAAGAGUUUUUUCGAAGGUUAGAGAUGAGAUGCUGCGAGAAAGAGCGGUCAUCGAAGUAAAAACUGUCAAAGCUGUCGAUGUUGCAUUGUACACAGUGACUGAAUUUAGGACACCUACAACAUGUUGGAAUGUCAUCCACAAUCUACAAGAAAACCACAUACAGUGUUCGUGUCAAAUGAUGGAGUUUGUUGGGCUUCCUUGUAGGCAUAUGUUUCAUGUCUUGAAAGUGGAACAAAUUGAAAAGAUUCAUGACAAUAUGGUUUUUCGUAGAUGGACAAAAAAAGCCAAGGAGCACAAUACUUGCAGGACCACAAAACCAGAAGUUGACACUGAUGUUUCAGAGAUGGCUAGAUUUAGUGCAUUGUCUGCAGCCUGCAAUAAAAUGUGCUACAAUGCAGCAAAAAACGUUGAAGCCUAUGAAAAUGCAUUGGUAGAAAUCAAUCGGCUAACAUUAACUUAUGAACAACAAUCUGAACGAGACGGUCUCCCAAAUAAAAAAUUGCGGAUGGGAACAAAACUUCGUAAUCCUGCAGUUGUAAAAACCAAGGGCGCUAUGUCUAAAACAAAAUGUGUAGCAGAAAGCUCUAGAAAGUGUGGAAAAUGUCGUCAGGUUGGGCAUACAACACGAACUUGUUCUAUUCAAGGGAAUGAUAGCACCCAGCUAAGGUAUGUCCCAAGUUCUUUAUCAUGUGUUUAAUUAUUGCAUUGUUGGAUAUUUCAUUGCAAAUAACUUUCAUGGUAUUGAUUUAGUGUCGAUGGAAACUGUUUUGCCGCAUUCGAUUCAUCAAGCACCCAGAAUCUUGGAGCCUCUACUGGUGUCAAUCCAACAUUGUUAGGUCAUGCAAGCAACCAAUUUUCAAAUGUUUUUUAUUGGUGGCCUCAUUAAACAAUGCCAUUAAAAUGACUCAAUAUGUAUUACCAUUUGAAUUCCACUAUCAUGUACUAACAUGACAACCAGUUUAAUAUCAAAUGAUGAGAUGUGAACACUGUUAACAUGCAUAUGUUCAUUAUAGUUAAAUUAUGUCUCGGCCAAGAAUACAUAACCAUGUCAUAAAUUUAAAGAUAAUUCUCCAUUACAAUUGAUUUUACAACCAUCGUAAGCAAGAAGACAAAAAAAUUCACGGUAUUACCUCCCAACAUGUUUCAAACAUCUUACAACAAAAAAUAGUAUGCAAUCACUUGCAUAAUCAUUCCCUACUAUAGUUCGAUAUCUAAGCGCGUGUUCUCGUGUUAACUUUCUUCUUCUUACGAAUGUUGCCGCUUUGUUGGUGAAAUGACUUUUGCACUUGAGAGGAUACAGGGUUCACCAUUACAGCAUGAAUCGCAAACUGUGCAUUGCUUAGUUCCAGCAAUUUAUCUCGAUUUUGAUUCAAUGCAGAAUUAAUUAGUUGAAUGGCUAGCCUACCUCGUGUAUCCUCAGAUGUGAACUAGUCAAUUUGAAAGGAAACCAAUAUUACUUUCAUAUAAUAAGUAGCUUUUAUAUAAUUAUGAAGUUAACAAAAUUCUGAGUUCAACAAUUAAACAAGUUUGGCAUAGUCGUACCAAAGUGGACGAUUUCUUCGGAAUAAAUUCUGGGCUGUCCAUAUAGUUUAUCACAUAAACCCCACAGUCAUAUCCAUUCCUUUGCUUUGGAACUCCAAUGCCCCGGUUGAUUGGAAAGUCUUGAAACUUCAUGUGUUGCAUAUUGCUUGGCAAUUGGGGCUGCAUAAUCCAAUCCAAGGAAUGUAGCUGUCGGCAAUGUUGAAAACCAGACAAUAUUAUAGAUAUGAAUAUAACACAAUAUACAUAACUGAUAAUGUUAAAUAGAUAACAAAAAUAAAGAACAUGAUUAAGAUACAAUGCGCAUGGCUUGAUCGUGCCGUCUUCUAUUACUGCGGGGAUCUGGAAGAGGAUCCCAUAUUUCUGCACUUGUAUUUCUGACAUUCACGAUCAGUAGGUACCAAUGAGAUGAUUCAUCAUUUAUUGGCACAUAAAUCUAACAUUUCAAUUGUCAAUGUCAUACACCAAGCACACUAGUAGAAACUGAAAUAAGUUAAAGGUUAACAAACUAACCUUUUGACACUUAUGCACCUGUUGCAUAAAAUUCUUUCCACAUCUAGCUGCCCUUGCAAAACAAUCCACCUCAUCUCCGACCAUUAAAACUGCUUGCUACACAUAAUAAAGACAACGUUGAAUAAGGAAGUUGUCAAUAAAGAAACCAAAGCACAAUGCAACAAGUACCGGCGAGACUCACAGAAUAUCUUGUUGGUAAAUACCAGUUCAUUGGCACAUCUUUCUCCACCACCUACUGAAUGAGGGUGAGGUGAUGCGCUUUCAUAGAAAUCACCUAAAAGUGAUCAUAUUUAUUGAGAUAUAUAAUAACAUGUAAUAAACGAUAAACAUAUAUUGUGACAUCACCAAAUGUUGAAACCUAAUACCUCGCCACAUAGAUAAGCCCCCGGCAAAAGAGUCAAUAAAGAAUGCCGAUUAAGAAUUUCGCCGCAACUAGAAACAAUGAUUUCACUAAAGAUAAAACACGGUAAUUUUUUAGUCGUAUAGCAUAACAACUAUAUACAGAAAACUAAUUUCAGUCUUCUGAAUUUAACCUUCCCUCUGCGUCCUUGUUAAAAGCAUAUUGAAUAAGCUUCAAUUCUUCCAGCGUAACUGGAUCAUUGACUUGAAACGGACCAGCUUUAUACUUGGGAUUUGCUCCCCUGGACACUUGAUCGUACGGUGAAAGUUGAUAUCGGCCUGGCCUACGAUUCCUACUUGGUCGCGUUGGCAGGACACUGAGACUAGUAGAUGUUUGAGGUUCUUGCUUAAGUUGAACUGGUUCAUCUAUAUCCUUUAUAAAAAAUAAAUUUAUAUGUAAGUUACUUCAUAAGUGAGUUAUCAUUGAAAUCAUUUUAAGAAAACGACGUUAUAAAACUGUACCUCAUCUCGGAGAUUAGGUGGUGGAAUAGGGACAAAGUGGGUAGGAUCUUUGCGAAAUUCACCGAUUCCUUCUCUUGUCCCCAUCCAGCCCAUUAAUUUAUCGAGGCUCAGGUUCAAUCUGCGAUCCACAGAGUCCUCGUCGCUAUCCAUUACCAUUUUGUUUUUUUCCAUCAGUAGUUGGCUCGGUUUUUCUGACUGGACAUGUUGGUUCUACUAUUUUCAAGCUCGGAGAUUGCGGGCAUGGAUCAGAUGGUUGUUUUGAUAGUGCACCAACCGGAGACUUGGAUCUCAAUUCCUCCAAAGACUUCUCAACCAUUUCCAUUCUCACAUUGAAUGAAUCCAUUUUGUGUUCAAUUCUGUGGACACACUGUGUUAGUACCCUAAAAGCUUCCUCCAUAUUAACAGUGCUCGGCCCAACAUCUUCGGUUUGUUCAAAAUGAGCGAAAUUUCUUUCGAGCUGCAGAAAAUUUGAUUCACGCAUUGGAACCUAAAAUAAAUAUGCACAACAAUCAUACAUAAUGACAAUCAAAAUAUAUUCAAUUAACCGUAAACAAAAUUAAAUACAUGUGUGAACAAGACAAAAAAUAAAACAAACCUCAGUACUGGUCAUGUCCCCAAACUUUUUCCGCCAAUUCAAUAAGCGCCGAAUCUCUUCCUUGGUCCAUACACUAACAGGGCAAACUGUUCUGUCCAUGGAACACCGAUCAUAUAAAACAGCACUAAAGUAGAACAACUGUACAUUCAAAAAACAAUUACUACGUCAUUUUAUUUUUCGUAUUUGGAAAAUUAAUUAUGGCAUCUAAGAUUUCUUAAAUAUACCUCUAAAAACACAACACAACCACUAACUGACUUCACUUGAUUAUCUUUAUACUUCGCUAUGCCCUCCCACAGAAAGUUGAAACACCAUGUAGCCCAAUUCUUUUUCCUAAUUAAUUGCACAUCUUUUAGGGAAUGCAGAUACAUCGGAUUGAUGUAGCUGGCACUUGUGGGACACAAUACAGUUCCUAGAAGAAACAAACAAAACAUGAUCUUAAAGUCAUCAUCACUACUCUCACUAGCUAUUAUUCUUUCACUAACUGCGGCUAUUUCAAUUCCUCUUCCACUUGUUCUAUACUUGGCACGCAGUUCAAUUAUAUCACCCGCUUCUUCUCGGAUGUAUACUGGUUCCCCUCCAUCUUUGAUCCCCAUUACGAUGCUGAAGGUUGUAGGGUUUAAACAAAACUCUCUCUCGUGCAAAACUAUACAGUGCCUCUUUGUAUCACAUUGUUGGACAAGUGUUUCACAGAAGUCUUGUCUCAGGCGACCACAUCGUAAUUCUAGCAUGCUUCCGAAGCUAAUUUCUCUAAUUGCAGCUUGUUGGUCGGCCGAUAGUGUGGAAAUGACCUUAGUGAGUGCACUGACACGACAACGAGAUAAAUUACAUUGGCUAUGCUUAUCCCCAAUUUUUUGUUCUUCAUCUUGUUUUUCAAUACUCCUUUCACCAACAUUUGAACUUGGGUCCUCAUGCAUCGUACCAAAUCGGCACUUCUCCUCAUUCGUUAAUUUCUUCCAUUUUUCAACAAUUGUCGCCCUACAAACUUUUUUGAUCCCUUCUUGCCUGACCUUUUCUGCUUCAUGCUUACUGUACACAACAUUUUAGUUCAACUAAUUACGUCAACAAAAUUGUUAUAAUAAGAACCUUAUUCAAAGCAAUAAUUUUAUACUUACAAAAAGUGUAUCCACGCUCUCUGACCAGGUCCUCCCCUUCUGCCUUAUGUGGACUCCAUUUUAUAACUGUAUGCUAUAUUUUAAAUCCUGAAAUAGACCACACAUAAAUGUAGUAUCAAGGCCGGACCCAUAACAAUGGCUAAGUUCUUGGCAAAUUAUUGAGCGCUCAUCUUUAGUAUUCCUACCAAAGACUGUAGAGCUCAAAACAAGCAAACAACACCUAAAACCAAACAAGAAAAAUUUAGGGUUCCCAUAGAAAAAUAACACUUAAAAACCAAAUCUCAAAAAAUCAACCACAAAAUAGAAAUAAAUUAAAAAAUGCCAUUGAAUUUUUACCAACUAAUGCCAUUGAAACCACGCAAAACCAUGGGAACAUUGCAUCCCCUUCUAAAUAUCUUUCUUCAAUUUAAUGCUUGAAUUACAGUACAUCAAUCAUAUCAGGAUUGAGGAUUUUCUUGCCAAUUUCAUGCUUCCAAGCCAUUAAUCAUCUCUUCAACAUCAAUUUUUCAUCAUCUAAAUAUCUUUUUUCACUCUAAAUUACCAAACUUCUAAUUGUUUCAAAUCUCUAAUUAUUUCACACAAAAUUUAUAGUACAUCACAAAAACCACAAAGGUCAAAAUUACCUCAUCACCUUCUCGUUAACUCACAAAAUGAAAAGGAAAGAGAGGAACUUGUGUUCAUCUUCAACACCUCAGGAUGACAGCGACCGCUUCAUGGAUUCCACUUCUUAUUUGCUUUGAACGAGAUGGUGCCUUUGAUCUUCUAUGAUUACUAAACAAAUAGAAGAGAGAAAUUUGAGAGAAAUUUGUGAUUUCAAAGUGAGAUGUGAGAGAUUGGGAAUGGCCUGGGUGAAACCCUCAAAAAGCAAAAUUUUGUUUUGCAAGCUUUGGGAACCGGUUUAAUAAGUUAACAAUUUUUUCCUCUUUUUUAUUUCUUUUCAAUCUCAGCCGUUGGAUUCAUUUUACUUGAAUCCAACGGCUGCGUUUACAAGCCGGCACAAUGCCGGGCCUCAAUGCCCGGCAUUGUAGCUUUAGCCAAGUUUAGUUUACAAUUACACCGGUGUCAAAUCAGCAGAGCAUCGGCAAGAGUUUUCGAUUGUUGCAAUUUGCAAUGCAUGUGGUACAUGCACGCACUAAUAAAGAAACACAAAAAGUGCAUUCUCAAGCCAAUAGUAUUUGUUUUUAAUCGCUACUUUGCAUAAUAAUGUAGCUUAGUUAGGAAAUUUGUAAUUAUAUUAUGCGUCCGUUUGGUAUAACUUUUUAAUUAGAACUUAUUUAAGGAGAACUAUUGUUUGUAGAGUUUUUAUAAAUAGAAAUUUUAAUUAAAAAAAAUUAUAAUUAUUUAGUUGUCAAUGUCCAAAUUGAUGAACUAUUGUUCUUUUUGUUAACAUGUGUUUGUUUUACUUAAUAAUAAAACUUUAGUUUACAAUUACACCGGUGUCAAUUAUACUAAUAGCAUCGGCAAGAGUUUUCGAUUGUUGCAAUUUGCAAUGCACGCGGUGAGAGAAAAUGAGAAUCUUGUUUAAUCCUUUCAUUAGGAGUAAUUUAAUAAUCGUUUGUUAUAAUAGAAUAUGUAUAAAGAAAGGAAAAUUAUAUUCAUAGAUUUGGCUUAUUUUUUGUUUAAAGUAAUUCAGAUCAUUACAACGUCCUUUUCGCUAAUUAAUUACAACGUCCUUUUCGCUAAUUAAUUAUGAUUAUAUACAUUUUCAUAUGGCAAGUGGCAUUGUAGAUCUAAACGACGUUGCUAUUUCAAUACGUUAAUUAAGUGAUUCUCCUGAUUGUCAUCAGCGCUAUACCCUCUAGGAAAAUAGCUCAAUUGUUUUCCUGCAUUGAUUUUCAUUGGUAUGUGAUUUCUUAUGAAAUUCUUUUGAGCUUUCCUUAGUUAAAAAGCUUGAGCUUUUAUCACCUAAUACUGAUAUCAAUUAACUUGUGAACGAUUUUAUACCCUCUCUUUUUUUUCUUUUUUUUUAAGUACUCUGUUGAAAGCCAAAGUUCCUUUGGCCAGUUAAUUUAGAAGUGAAGGAAAGAAUAAAGUUAGGCCUCGACGUCUUUUGAGAUUAGAAAUACAUUUUGAAUGCUUUAAUAGAUGCAGAGCAAACUGGCUCGAUAUCUAACUAUUUUAAGAGCUAAAAUCAUUUAUUAGAAGUUGUAGCAUUAAAAAAAAUGGGCUUGAUAUCCAAUUUUGUUAUUGAAUAUGUCUCACGUGUUACUGGCAGAUGGCUAUGCUAGGUUUUAUUGCUCCUUGAAUUUGAUUGAAAAAUUAUUGAGGCGGACAAGUUUGGACCAUUGUUGGACACUGAAACUACACAUCAGUCUUAGAAAAUUGUAAUUUUGUUGGCUUAUCAUGAUUUUGAUCGCCUCACAUUGAUUUUCCUAUGACGUCUCUGUAGAGUGGCUAUGCUUACAUUUUUAGGUAUUUAAUUCUAAAAAUUAACUUAUUAGAUGGAAGGACCAAUUCUACCUGUAAAUACAAGUGGCUUCCCUUUACCAACUCAUACAAGACACAACAAUAAUCUUCUUCAGAAAAAACCACCGUCGGAGGGCUAUUUUCGUUCAACAUAAAUGAGUUGUUCCGCCACCAUAUUUUAAGGGUUUGCUUCUAAUACAACUUGGGGGAGCUAGGGCUAAGAUUUCUAAGAAUCAACAUAAAAACCUUGCCUAUUGGAUGGAAGGACCAAUCCCACUUAUGAGUCUAAAUGACUAAUUUUUGAGGACACAACUCAACAGACCAAUAUAAACUUUUGACGUCCCAUUUUAUUACUUUCCUGUGUUUUUACUUUUGAUGCUGUCUAUAGCCCUACUAUUCUAUUAAGCAGAAAAUAUUUCAAGGCACUCUCGGUCCAGUAGAUAACUUUGGUAUUUAUUAUCUAUUUUCUUUCCAUUUUAUGUAAACCCCGAUCUUUACCUCUGAUUGGUUGUAGAUUCUUUUGUUGCUUUGGGGUUAGGGGAUGGUUUUCAUAACUAUUAAGUUGAUCAAUGCAGAAAAUCACCAUCAAGAAAUGAUAAAGGAUUGUUAGUUCUAUCUGACAAACAACAUUAAUAUGAAGGAUGAUGAUUGUUCUGUUCAAGAGUUUAUAAUGACAUAAUUCUACUUUGGUCUUUUAAAAAAAGUAAUUUAGAAACGAGUAUGUGAGUGAUGACUUUUACAAAAUAAAUUACAUGCGCAGUGAUGAUUUUGACACAUGAAAAUGAAAAAAGAAAUAUAACUUGUGAAUAAUAAUUGAAGUACCUGCUAUUGUUAUAUUGGGUAUUGAUAAAUGGAUGGUUUUGGAAGAAUUGAAAAUGAUGGCAUAAGUAAACCGAAGUUAAGAGAAAAGAGAAAGAGCAUUUGAACUUUACUAGUAAGUAAAGGCAAAUUUCUUGGUUCAAGAAAAGAUAAGAGAUAUCAAACUAGCAAUAGGAAAAAGGAGGAAGGUUAAGACAGCAUCUUAACAAAAGCUAAAGAAAAGAAAAACUUAGUUCAAGCAAAGAACAAUGUGCUAAUGUCGUGUAAUCUUGUUUAAUUUCUUUUUCUUCUCACAUUUUCCAGGGCUUAAAUAAUACAAUAUACAUUUUCAAGCAAAGAACAAUAUGCAAUUGCAGUACUUCUGAGCACACAACAACAAAUAAAUAGUACAAUAUACAUACCCACUAAAUUAAAAAAAAAAUAUUAUUCAAGUUUGUGGACAAUACUGUAGCCAUGCCGUCGUCGAAAUCUACUGACAGCUGAAACAAAGAAAGAAUGGAUGAAUGCUGGAUCACAGUUGAAAUUGAAGGUCUGGUAGGUGAUGUUUCCCUCUCUGAUUUUACCUAAACAAAUACAAAAAAAUAAGAAUCACAAAUGAAAAUCUGCUAUUACACUGUUCUUACUUAUUAAAAUACAGAGGUUUCUUUGUUUCUCUGCAGCAAUGUCCAUGGCUAUUAGAAACAAGAACAAUUAGACCAGCAUUUGCAAGAAUCCUUUAAGGUAUUACUGCAGAUAUAAAUCCACUGAGGAAAUGGAAAAAGUGAAUACCAAAUUAGGCAAGUUAAAUGAAGAUUGAGUUAUCAUAGAAGAAUAAAACUCAUCCAAUUCAAUCCAUCAAAUUCCAUAAGGAUACAACUGGAUGUCAUACUGCUGCUCCAUAUCCUCAAGAGCCCGUAGAUUUUGCCUCAACUCUGGCUGAGGCCAAUGUAAGUCCAAUUUGCAAAAGCUCUUUAUGCACCAUAGCUCUUCAGGAAGCUUUCUCAAGUAAGCACAAGGGUUGACAAUUAUGCUCCCAAGUUUUGGCAUUGCUCCAGCCCCUAUCGUCCACUCCUCUAGCCAACAAAUUGAUUUCAGGUGCAAUACUUUGAGCUCCGGGAAACCACAAGAGCAAACACAAGCCAGUUUUCUUCCUGAAUAUGAGUUCUGCUUCAAUUUCAGCACUUGAAGGUGUGGAAGCUUGUCUAGUGUUAGCAUGGUAUCCGCCAAUAACUCAGUAUUUGAUAAGCUUAGUUGGAUCAGACUUGGAGAAGCUGGUAUUUAGACAGGGCCAUCCGAGAGAGCUACCACCUCUUGGUUUCGUUCACCAGCUUCAAGCAUUCAAGUUUGUGUAGUUCGCAUAGGCUUUUGGAAACCCCAGAACGAUAAUAACUCAAACCUCCAGAUACUAAGAGUUUGAAAAUGAGGUAGUCUGCCUGUUAAAGUAGCUCACUAUGCUGAACGAAAGAAGGAGAAAGCUAAGCUGAAGAAAAUACAGGGCAAGAGUAUUAGCUGUGCCAGCUCAACUGACAGCUCAGCAAAAUCAGUUAAAUUUUGUUACAAGCCCCCUGUGCAUUGUGCUGAAGAUUAGUUAGUUUAAUAAUGAUUAGUUUUAGAUUAGUUAAAAUGUAAUCAUGAUUAAGAUAUAUAUAUAUAUAUAUAUAUAUAUAUAUAGAUAUAGAUAUAUAUAUAGCUGCUGUACUGAUAGGGCAUCUCAAAAGUUCUGAAAUAAUACCUCAAUUCUAUGGCAAAAAUAAAUAAUCUCAAACAAGAACCAAUAAUCAUAUUUUGUUACUGUCAAACACAAUGCAUAUGAGCAAAACAUUGGAAGCCAACACCAGAAUACAUAUGAAUAAACAAUUAAAGAUAGAGAAAAAAGGCUUAAACCUUGGGGGAAAAAAGUGAAAAAACAUGAAAGACAAAUUACACAUGUGCAGUAACCAUCGAACUUAUCAGUGACAGCUGCAUCCAUUACAUUGCUCCAACAACACAAUGGCAAACCACCAGUUUCAAAUUGAGGAUAGCUAUCGAGAAUGAGAAAGUGUCCAAAACAUCAUAAAUAGACAUGUUCCUAUUGUGCAUAAUUUACAUUAUAGGCAAAUAUUCUUAUACCAUCAAAGGCAAAACAUGACACUAACAAUUGAUCCCCCCCCCCCCCCCCCCCCCCCCCCCCCCAACAAAAAAAAAGGAAAAAACAAUACAGAAAAGAUUGAAACAGAUAAGGCUACACUGAGCACAGGAUGCCAUGAAACAUAAUCCAGGAACCAAAUUAAUAAAGAAGGAAGGCAAACCAUUAUUUAACAAUCUGUUUUGUAUUUGGGAAAGUCCGAUAAAAUCUACUUAGGGAUAAUUAGAGAACCUCAACUAUUAAUCACACCUCAUAAAUGAACUAACAUUAACCAUGUACCAUCCCCACAUCAGACAAACAUUCUCUAUACUUCUGAACCUAAUACUUCCAUCUUCAAUUGGGGUUUUUUUUUGUGGGGGGGGGGGGGGAUAAGCUAUCGUGUUUCUAAGCUUGCUUACCUUCUGUGUGGGACUGAAAUACUGAUUUCGAAUCAUUAACAGUAAAAUUGGAAGCUCAUGAAAAAACAAUUUUAUCUUUUAACAAAAGUUAAAAUUACAUCUCCAUAUAAAUUCUCUUUUCAUUUCCUUCAAUUUUCUAAUUAAGCUUAAAAAAAUGUACCUUCAACCACAAAGGGGUUUAAAAUUUAAAAUAUAUAAAAAAAUAAAUUCAGAUAACAAUAAUUAAUUUAAUUAAAAAUAUAAAUAGAGAUUACAGAGAAAGAGAAAAUAGAGAAAGACCUAAUGUUGAGUCCUUUGGUUCUCUUCAUAGGUCCGAACCAUUUCUUCGGGCGUGGGUUUCGGGUCUUUAGGAAACUCCAUCGUCAUAAGCCAGUGAUUGUAAUCGCAACCCUCCAACAGAAUCGUGUCGGGUGUGAUCUCGUCGCCGUCCUUACACAAGUGGUAAGUCUUGUUACCCGACGGCGCAGACGAGAGGGAGAUCGUCGGGGACGAUCUGAACGGCCGAGAAUGGAUGAUGAUGGAGGAGGAGGAGGAGAUUAGCGAUGACGACGCCGAUGAAAUGGAAGGGUUUACCAGAGGAGUGGAUGCCGAAAGUGCAGGGACGGCCGCCAGGAGAGAGCGGUGGAGAGCAGCGACGGCCGGCAGUGACCGGCGGAAGAUGGCGGGAGAUGGCAGCGUGGGCCAUUGCUUGCGCGUCAGUGAGUGUCUCGAGUGAGAGAGUGAAGGUAGGGAUGGCAAUGGGGAGGGAGGGAGGGUCCAAUCUCUCCGUACCCAUCCCCCAAUUUGUCCCCGUCCCUCCCCGUCCCCAUUUGCUUAGAAUCUCCAUCUCUGCUCGAAUAAUAACAGGAAAUCCUCGAGGUUCUAAAUAACUAAUAAUUUUUUUUAUUUUUUAUUUUUUUAUUUUUAGUUAAUUAUAUUAAAAUAAAAAAUAAAAAAUAAAAAUAAAAUUUAAAAUAUAUCUUAUAUUAAUAUUGAUCCAUUAUAAAAAUUACAUGUAAAAUAUAAAUUAUCAAAAUAAUUAUCUUUAUCAAUCUUCAUAAUCAUAUAAUAAAAAGAAAAAAAUUUACUUUUAUAUUGAUAAUAAAAUAAAUAUAGAUAAUUAAUUAAUAUUUUUAAUAAAACAAAAUUUUUGGGCUAAUAGAAUCUACCCUGCUUUUUUAAUAUCUUAAAUAAAAAUUUAAGACUUUAAUUAGUUAAUUAGGCCUAAAAAUUUAAUAAUAUAAAUAUUUUGAUAUUUUUUAUUUUACCAAUAUUUAUAAUUUUAUAAUAUAUUCAAUUUUUAUUAUUUAUUUACUAGUAAUUUUAAAAAAUAAAAAUAAAAUUAAAAAAUAAAAUGGGGGAAAUGGGGAGGGGAUGGGGAUUCCACCUCAUCCUUGUCCCUUCCUCGAAUAAGAAAUUGAUUAAAAAAAAUUUCCCGUCACUUUCUCGAAUAAGAAAUCGGGUAUAAAAUUAUCCUCGUACCCUCCUCGAAUGAGAAAAAUCUCCGAGGAUACCCAUACCCGUGGGGAUUUUUGCCAUCCCUAAGUGAAGGAUUUUGUUUAGGGUUUUGGGAAUUGAAAAAUGUAAAUGUUUGAUUUUGUUGCUAGAAACUUCUUCUGCCGCUGCUUUUUAUUUUCGCUAUAAAAGUAAUAAUUUGUUAAUCAAAUAUUUUCUUAAAAAAGAUAAAUUUCUAGAACAAAAUUUAUAUUAAAUCAAAUUGUAAAAAUGUGGAAUAGGGCUAAUUUCUCCUUAAUAUUAUUGUUAGUAGAAGUAGAUUUUCGAACUAGUCUUGAUAUAUUUUAGAGUUGUAUUAUAGAUGUAUAUGUAUCUAGAUUGUAAUUAUAUUUUAAAAAAUAUAAUUUUUUUAAUUAUUGCACAAUAAGUGUAGAAAAUAUCUAUAAAAUAAUAUUAUUAGAACUAUGAAAAGAAUUUAUUUUAGAGAAGUUGUUUUUUUAUUAUUGAAUUUGUUAAUUUAUUAAUUUAUUGACAAAUGAAUAUUUAUUAAUUUAAAGAGGGAUUUUUUUUUAUUUGCUUUUAAGAAGAGUUUUGUUGGUACAUGUACAUACUUAUAAAGAAAUACAAAAAGUGCUUCCUCUGUUCCUCAAAUCAAUAGUAUUUACUUUAAUUCAUAAUAAUAUAGCUUAUUUAGGAAACUUGUAAUUAUACCAUGUCUUUGUUUCUUUGUUCAUUUUGGUGGGACAAUGUGAUAAAUGAUUGGAUUAAAAUGCAUUAAUAAAUAAAAACUUAUUAAAACCUAAUUUAUUUGGGAACCACAUAUUAUUUGUCAGUAGUAUUUAUCAACUUAACAAGUUAUUUCUAAUUUGUCCCUCUCUAUUAAUGGUUCUCUUAAAGCCAAUAGGGUCGCAUUUGAUAUCUUGCCAUUACCGUUGGCAGUAGCGUGUUACCUAAGAUUUGGAUUCAUUGAAAUCCUCAAUGUAAUCGGUGGAACGAAUGGAUUUCUUCUAUUCAUAAUUUGAUGCUUUGGAUUCAUUGAAAUCCUCAACGCAUUUGAUAUCUUUUUCGUUGAAUUCGUGCAGUUAAAUAAUCUCUACCAACAUAUGUAUGUAUGUAUGAAAUUGGAGUAACCAGACCUUUUCAAGAGUUAAAUAAUCUCUACCAACAUUGUAGAUUGCCCGAUAAAGUUAACUGUGUUACCCAGCUCUAUGCAUAUACAUUAAAUGCAUGUUUGGGUAGUUUUAUAAAAUGAUAACAGCAUGUCAAAACUUGAUAUGAGUUAUAUUGUCAUAUUCGACAUUUUUAAAUUGAAAAAUAAGCAAGCAAUCUUCAGUGAACAUUACAAUUUUGUUCGCUCUACACCCCAUCAAUAUUUAAGCAAUCUACAUAUCAUUACUUGAGGAAAGAAACUCAUUGCGCCACUAGGCUUUUAACGAGGCUCAUUUCUAUGAAUCUGGAUAGCAUUAGAUAUCUCUCCGAAUACUGUUGGGAGUAGAUUGCAGUUCUCUGGGCUAUACUACAAAGUGUAUGUACGUUGAUUCUCUGAUAUGAUUCAAAACAUCAGUACAUGCAUCAUUUAAUGAGAAAGAAUAUUCUGAGAUUAUUUAUGCAUCACCAUUUGUAGUUGUACUGACUCUAAUGAAAUUAAAGGUGCAAUCAGCAACUAAAAUGAAGCCAGAAAGACACGCAUGAGGCAGUUUUCCUAGAAGAUUUGAUAUUUCUUUGACUAGCAAACCAUACGACAUUAAUCAAAACACAAUACGCACAAACAGACCCCUACAUACAUACCAGCAAAUUCAAAAUAGAAAAAGGAGUGCAACUAUUCAAGUUUGUAGACAAUAUUGCAGCCAUGGCAUAUCAAAGCAAAUCCUUGAAAUGUGCUAAACAGAACAAUGCCCUGUCUGAUGAAUCGACGCUCAAUUACAAUUGAAAUUGAAAGUCCGGCUGGUGUUGUUUCCCUCUCCAGUUUUGCCUACAUAAGUAAAGGGAAAUGAGAAUCAUAAAAGAAAAUCUGCUUUUAUGGUUCUUAUUAGAUAGAUAAAAAGGGAUCUUUCUUUGUUUCUCUGCUGCAAUGUGUGGCUAUCCCACUCUGUUUUGCCAGUCAAGCUGAGUCUAUGUUGAGACAUAAUUUUGACAUCAGAAGCGGCCUCAAUUAGUUUGGCACUUUUGCGAUAAACAUAAAUCUACUAAGAAAGUGCAAAAAAAAAAAAGAAAAUGAAUAUAAAAGUAUGAUUUAUCAGAUAAGAUUAAAACUCACCCAAUUAAAUCCGUCAGAUUCCAUAAGGAUAUAACUGGAUGUCAUACCGCCACUCCAUAUCCUCGAAAGUCCGUAGUCUUUGUCUCAGCUCUGUCUGAGGCCAAUGUAAAUCCAAUUUGCGCAAGCUCUUUAUGCACCACAGCUCUUCUGGAAGCUUUCUCAGGUAAGCACAUGGGUUGACAAUUAAGCUUUCAAGUUUUGGCAUUGUUCCUCCCCCCAUCGUCCACUCAUCUAGCCAAUACAUUGAUUUCAGGUGCAAAACCUUAAGCUCCGGAAAGCCACCAGAGCCGACACAGGCCAGCUUUCUUCCUAAAUACGAGUUCUGCUUCAGUUUCAGCACUCGAAGGCGUGGAAGAUUUUCCAGAAUUGGCAUGGGAUCCUCCAUUAGCUCAGUAUUUGAUAAGCUCAGUUGGAUCAGACUUGGGGGAAAUUGGUAUUCAGACAGGACCAUCCGUGAGGGCUUGCUCUCAUUCACCAGCUUCAAGCAUUCAAGUUUGUGGAGUUCGCAAAGGCUUUUGGAAACCCCAGAUUGAUAGUAACUCAAAUCUCCAGAUAUCCGAAGAGUCCGAACACUGGGUAGUCUGCCCAAUAUAUCAGGAGUACAACUACUAGGGUUUAAAGCUGAUAUGAAAAUGAGAUUUUUCAGAGAGCUAGUAUAAUUUUUUGGAGGUGCGGGCAGAGUGAUAGAACCAAAGUUUAGAUGCGUGAGUUUUUGCAUCAUCCAAAUAUCCUCUGGCGACUGAUCUAUGUAGCUAGAUGGCAUUUCUAGUGUUUGAAGGUUUAAAAGGGUGCAUAGCAGCAAAGGAAGGCAUUUGAGCGAAGGGAUAUUCAAUUUCAAGUACUUCAAAAAAUAUAAAUUUUCUAAUCCGGGUGGAAAUUGGUCGAGAACUGCGGAACCCAAGUUCAGUACCCGAAGGUAUUUGAACUUUUUACAAAAAUUCUCGCAAUCUAUCAGAGCGAGAUGAUCGCUUCGUGAACUGUGAUUCAGAAAAGAUUGGAUAUACAUGUCAGAAUAUUCUGGAGGAAAGAACUUAAUCAGACGAUCCAAAAUGAGAUACCGUUUAACAUUUGCCAGUGGUUCCUCUUUCAUAUCAGACAUCCGGACAAAUUCCGUCUUGUCCGCCACCAAAUAUAUUGAAAUAAAUUCAAAACUUGGAACAUAACACGCUUUGAUUGUGCCGUUGGCUCUUCUCUUACUCACUUGAAUGAAGCCGCGGUGGAUUAGUUCUUUUAAGUAAAAUUCGGCAGUUUCCUCACUGUUGUAUGGAAUUAAACCUUCAGCUAUCCACAACUGACAUAAUUGCGCGGUAGAUAUCUCAAUGCCGGGGCGGAAGACACACAAAUAGAUGCAGCAGACUUUCAAGUAAAAAGGUAACUCCCACACAGAACAAGUUCGACUGAAAACUGUCAAAUUUAUUUUUUCAUUCAUAUAAUUUUCUGAUGGCGCACUUCCAUAGUGUAAGAUAAAAAAUUGCCAGGCCUCAUGCUUUAAUCUGAUCAAUGGUCCUUCAAUGAGCACUGAAUCAAGCCGAAUCUCCUCUCCGUUUUCCAUUUCCAACGACGUAAGGAGUUCUGGAUCAGUGACCAAUAUCAAUACUCUGCUUCCAUUCUGAUUAUCAGGAAGAACUUCUUCAAGAUCAUCCCAUAUCUCAAUGUUAUCGCAGACAUCAUCAAGCACAAUAAAGUACUUCUUCUUUGCUAGGAAAUCUCGAAGAAUAGUUUUCUUCAAUUGAUAAUCUUCACCGAUAAUUACACUAACCCCAGAUGGAGGCAUCACAGACUUGAUUAUGUCAUCCAAUAUCAUGCGAAAAUCGUAGGCCACAGAAACCCUGACCCAAGCAAGACAGUCAAAAUAGAACUUGACAUGAUUAUUAUUGUAAGUAUCUGCAGCAAAAGCAGUCUUAUCGAAGCCAUUGCUGUCGAGUAUUGCAACCACUGCCAGCCCAGAUGGUCCAUCUAUUGAUUGAGGGACCAUCUGGGCUGGCAGUGGUUGCAAUACUCGACAGCAAUGGCUUCGAUAAGACUGCUUUUGCUUAUUUUGUUACUUUGUUCACUGAUAUCAAAACCAUUGUCGCCGGGUGGAAGUUGUUGAAUCCGAUUUCUAAUAUCAAUGAUUUUACUGUGGAGUCCAACAAGAAAAGCCAUCUUAGUACUACUUUCACUUUCGUUUUCACCGUUUUGCUGCUGCAUGAUUUUGAUGAAGAAUGUGUCAAUGGCUUCCUCAGAUUCAUGGACAAAGUCAUUGAUGUCGUUCAGAAUUUCCAGAACGUCUGCUCUUUUAACGUCUUCUUCAUCGCUUUCUUCUGCCUGCAACAGUUGCGAAAAAGGCAAAGAUAAUUUGUAUUCAUCGAAUCGUUCUUUAACGAGUUGAAACAAAAGCCGAGCCAUGUCAGAUUCAUAGUUUCCCAGCAGAGUGGUAGCAAUAAUUUCGGACUCCGUAAGAAGGUUUUUAAAAAGGGGAGUUAAAUUUGUUGAAUCAGGCAAAGUCAACGCGCCUUCUUCACCUGCUAACACCCUUUUUAACCUCUCACAAAAUAGUCGGAGGUGGACGUCCAGCAUAUCUCCUUCUCUCUGUAGCGGCCAGAGGUAUUGUUAUUUGCUACAAGAAAUGUUAAAAGGAUUGGUCCUAUCUCAAAGUCGUUAGUGGUGUCAAAUUAAACGCCAUGGGAGAAUUUGAAAGGAAGAUGCCAAGAAACUGGCUAAGUGGCUAAAUUCCACAAAUACGGCAUUAUUGCUCAUUUUUAACUCAAAAAAUUGAUACGCGUUCAUUUAGCGAAAAGUCCAAGACGCGUGCCUUUUGAGAAGAACCGGUAUCCAAUAGGUAUUCAACUUUAUCUUAUUUAAGGCAAAGCUUACGUUACAAAUAAUGUAACAAACAACCAAUAAAUAUAGAUCAUUUAAUUAUUAGCAUGACAUGAUUGAUGGUGCUUAAAUCAAAUGUUUUUCUUUUUUAAUUUAAAGAAUUUUUCAUGAAACAAAUUAUUUUAAUAUCAAAUUGCCUUCAAUGGCAUAACUGCCGCAAGCCAGUGACAGAAUUAAUUAAAAAUUUUAGAAUUCUUGGGCAUGGAAAUGGUAGUAAACAUCAUAAAGCUAAGGUUGUUCUGUAAAAGAACUGAUAUUGACAUAAUUUUAUUUUGGUUUUCGGGGAAAACAAUAUUUGUUGACAAGCAAGAAAAUAUUUUUAUAUUUUACAAUUUAUUAUACAUAUUUUAUCAUAUUAAAGUAAUUUUAAUAAUAAAUAGAAACAUAAUAUUACAAUAAAUAAAUUAAAGUUUAAAUUAUUUUGAAUAUUAUAAAAAGUAAUUUUAAUAUUAUUAAUAGGAAGACUUUUGUUAAUUGUAAAAUCUUUUUAAUCCAAAGAUUUAUUUAAAAUUCUUAUAAUAAAUACAAAUAUAAAAUUAAAUAUCAAAAUUUAAAAUUUUUAAUAUUAUUUAAAUUUUAAAAAUACUUUAAUGUUAUUAGUCUUCUACAUAAAUUAUAUUAUUUAUAUUAUAUUUGUAUUGAUUAAAAUCUUUUAAAGUCGAUCUUCUAGUUAUUAUAUGCAAAAGGUAUUAUAUCAUAUUACAAUUUUUUUAAAUUUUAGGGAUGUAGGUUACGAUGAUUUAUUUCACUUUUGACGAAAUCCAAUGAGAAAUAUGAUAAGAGAAAGUCAAUUUAACGUUCUCUACCUUUAUGAAAAAAAAAAUAAAAACUAAGAAUUAUUUAAUUUUAUAUUUUUUGCAUCCACCAAAUAAGUUUUGCACAUUUAUGUUAUCAUAAAACGAAAAAAAGGGUUUACCAAAAAAUGGUACCAAGCAUACCUUUAAUGUCCCACGUGAUUUCUUAUUAAGCCCAAUAUUAGAUAUAUUUAUAGAUUUUACUGCAUAAGUAUUUUAAUUAUAAAAGAAGUUGGUCCUUCCUCUAGUUACAAAAGAUAACUUUAUUUCAAGACUACCACUAAAUUCUUACGGAGAAUUAGUGCAAGGCCAAGAGAGAGUAACACAAUUUUACUUUUCCAUUACCAUUUUGAAAAUAGAAAGAUAUGGAUCCGUGUAUUUAAGAGUUAUUGUAAAAAUCAUACAAUUCAAUUUCCUGACGUGUAUUAUGUAUAUUUAGGCACAUUUGCCAAAAGCGUAAAUAGAUAGAAAGUAAAUUUACAAUCCACCCUUACUCACAAUUAUUGAAGUGAAGAUGCAUUACAACUGUCACUGCUUUAACUACAUUUAUUUAUUUAUUUGUUUUAAAUAAAAGUGUGAGAGAGACGGUGAACAUCAUGGACGAUAACAAAGGUUAAAGCCUAAAGGUGACCCAUUUUCUUUUUUAAAGUGCUCUGCUGAAAGCCAAACUUCCUUUGGAUCCGCCUAAGUUACUGCUGACGCAACUUACAGCUGCUUUGUAAAAUUUUAUAAAGCCCCUUAUACUCUAUAUUAUUACGUUAUAACUUAACUUACUAUGAGAUUUAUCUUACUUAUUUAUAAUUUGUUCAUAAAUAUUAUAAAACUUUCUGCAUUAUAUAAUUUUAUUGAGCCCCUUAUACUAUAUUUUAUUUCAUUGAAACCCUUAGAGUACUAAUUCGCCCUCUAUAAUUUUAAAUUCCUAAAAUAUCCUCCAUUUAAUUAAAAAUAUAAUAAUUAUUAAAUGGAUUAUAAUUAUAAUUAUUAUUUUAUUAUAAUUAUUAUUAAAUGGAUUAUAAUUAUCUGGAGUACAAAUUCAGUAAUAAACAAUAACUGAAGUAUUAACAAUUUAUUCAUCAAAUAAAAUACUCGAGAUUUCAGCUGACAAAUCCUCUUGUCUAAACUAAAAAACUCAUAUCCCUAAAAUCUAUUUGUGAAAUGUUAGAGAUGAGUGGUGAUUUGUCAACUGGGUAAAUAUAUUUAUGCAUAAUAUUUCCGGUAUUGAUAAAUUACAUAAUAAUUAUUACAAAGAAAUCAUAAAUUGGAAACAUUAAUCAUUUUACAAUAUGUUACAUAAGUAAGAUAAAUCUCAUAGUAAGUUAAGUUAUAACGUAAUAAAUAUUUUCAACAUAUAAUUAUUUAAGAAGUCAUUUAACAAUAAUAUUUUUUAUAUUUCAGUUGAUCAUGUCAUAUAGCGUUAUCUAAACUCUUGGCCAUAUUAUUAUUACUCAAUUUUUCUCCCAAAAAAAAAAACAAAAAUGAUUAACGAUUAGAGAAAAGUCAUGCCUUUUAGAAAGAAUACGUAUACAGCCUAUCCCAUACUUUUAUCUUUACCAUGAUGGGGGAUUAAAUUUAUUUUUUAAAUUAAAUUUAAUGCACAAUUAUGAUGACUUUUUGCAAAAAUUAGUUUCGGAAGAUAUAGUGGUAGAAAAUAGUGAUGAUUAUUGUUUAAAUGUGUAAAUAGUUUAAGCAUAGCCCGUAAUACCAAUAUUCAUUUGCACCUUCAUUUGGAUUAUCAUAUUUUAUGAUGUUCUUUCAUUCAUAACCAUUGUUCAAAAUUUGGAUUUGAUCAUAAAACAAAGCUAAAAAAUAUUAGAGAUACUAACAAUUGAGUCCCAUUUUAAGUCCCAAUACAAUGUGUCAUUUCCCAAUGCUGUAUCAUUUUAGGUGAUGAAUUUCAGAAUUAAUAAUUAGUUCAGACUUAAAUUAAGAUUUAGUUAUUAAGAUAUCUAGCAUCACUCAAUCACAAUAAACAAUAACCAAUUCAAAUUGGAACGGAAUAUUGUAUUUUCUUUUAAUUAAUUAUGAUGCAUAAGCAAGUAUUUGUGCUUGGGUUUUUUACUUCUUGAUUUUGUUUGGAAAAAUUUAUGAGACAAAGAAGUGUUUUGGAUAAUUUUUUCGGGAUUGAAAAUUUGAAACCACAACUUGGUAGAAGAAAUUAGUUGUGAACAAUUUUUUCUUAUAUUGUAGGACCUUCUAGUUGGAGUAGUGAUGGCUUUGUCUUCAUUUUUGGUUCCAUUUGUGUCGGCAGCCCCUUACUAUUCUCUUGACCCUGAGUUUGAGAUGAAAAUUUAUCAACCUCCAACCCCACAUCCAAAAACAAGUUGAUUGAAACAAUUGCUCUUUAAAUUAAGCGGACCCAAAUGAGUUAGGUUUCAGUUCUUAUCAUUUGUCUAUUAUUUCUUUGAAACAUGUAUUUUGAGCAUUACUGAUCUUAAUUAUCUGUAUUUCUCCAAUUAUUGAAGAAUUUCAUGUGGCCACUUUUUCUCCUUUUAAAAUAUGUUUAUUUUUUGGAGUGAUCAAACGGGUGUAGAAUCAAGUAAUCGCUGGUCUGUAGUUUAGCCAAUGAUGGCUCAUCCACACAGUUGAAUAUAUGAUACAAUUAGCUCUCAAAAUCUUUCUUAUUUGAGAACAUAAAUUGCCCAUUAAAGUUAAACUAUGUUACCCAGCUCCAUGCACAUACAUUAAAUGUGUAGGUAGUUUUACAAAAUGAUAACAGCAUGCCAAAACUCGUUGUUGUCAUAUUCGACAUUUCAAAUUGAAAAAUAUGCAAGCAAUCUUCAGUGAACAUUACAUGUUUAUUCAAUAAUUUAAAUGGCCAGUAAAUCAACAGUCCAUGAGUUUUAAAUCUAUUAUGACUUAAUGUAUCUUUCUGUAUUCGUACACAGGUUAUAUUAUCAUAGUUUAAAAU
RNAcentral lists this long non-coding RNA (54472 nucleotides) under Citrus x clementina. RNAcentral describes it as "Citrus clementina (C. clementina) long non-coding RNA (CCLE_LNC002397)". The record is from RNAcentral. Lineage: Eukaryota; Viridiplantae; Streptophyta; Magnoliopsida; Sapindales; Rutaceae.